This 82429-nucleotide long non-coding RNA is filed under the name Ananas comosus (pineapple). RNAcentral describes it as "long non-coding RNA (ACOM_LNC018023)". Lineage: Eukaryota; Viridiplantae; Streptophyta; Magnoliopsida; Poales; Bromeliaceae. The record is from RNAcentral.
AAAAACCAAAACUGCACUGCAGUCCUGGGCAUUUCGGGUGCUGGUGCUGGUACCACCCUGCUCUGGUAUCGGUACCAAGUGCAUUUCCUGCACCAACAGCAGCAGCUUGGCAGCAGCUUAUUCCGAAGCCGUUUUGCGCAUCCAAUUCAUUCUGAAACCUUCAAAUUCCCUCCAAUUACUAUCCCUAAGCUUCCAAAUUAAUUUGGAAAUACCACAAGUCACUUACAUUCCCUACUUUAAUCAAAUUGAUCAACAUAAAUCUUGUAGUCCGACAACUCCUUCUCAAUUUCAUUUCGCGCUCAACUUGCGCCGAAACACUUAAUUACCUCCGAAAUUCAUUCCCACGCAUCCGAAAUCACUCGGGAAUGAUGCCCAACUAGCUCAAGCUUCAGUUUGAUCCUCUAGAUCAAAGUUAGCAUCGCAACUCAAAGUUUCCACAUAUUACAUGGUUGGUGAGUUUUGGGGCUAAACCUACGGGUUGGUCAAGAGGAUUGGGUAUUGAUAAUGGCAAUUGGUAUACAUCAUAAGCAUCAUAUAUAUGUGGGUUUAUUAUUCUUGUUCAGGCAUAGUAACCGCAUUUUAUUAGAAAUGACUAUCUAUUUAUCUGUUCUCUUUUACUUAUGCCUGGUUAGACCUAGUGGGAAAGUCGGUGGGGUCGGCAGCCGAACCCACUAGGAACUUCUUGUAGUUCUCACCCCCACCAUCUUACAGAUCUGGGCCCGAGCGAGGCGGUUGAGAAUCGUGGCAAGGGCAUAGCGCCCUAGGUAGCGGACACUCGUACAUUAGUGGUACCCUUGUUUCAUCUUUUGGGCUAUGAUGAAAAGUGUAGUGUAAUGGAAAUGCAUAAAUGAUAUCAAUGGCACAUGUUUUUGAGAAAGGAUAUGUGAUGUACUUGGAAAACAAAAUGGAUGUAAAUUAUGAUAUGCUUGUAUUUGGUUAAAUAUAAUCAAGAUACAUGUGUGGAUGUAAUAGCAGUAGUACUUUUACUUGAUUGGUUGUUGCUUGCCCUCAUGCAGGCCAUGUAUAUCUGAAUUUUUGUUUGCGCAAAUUGUUAUACAUGUUGAUACUUGUGUUGAGUCUUGGGCAGACAGGAGAGGUGUUGUCCAUUCGGCAUCUAUGGACGUACCCGAACCGACCAAAUUGGCAAUUGCGGGGCGUGACAGUAGCGGCGGCUGGCUGGCCGGGGCUCGAUCGGUGGUGGUCGGAAGGCAUGCGGCGCACGAGGGUGAGGGAGGAGAGGCGGCUGGGGGUCAGAUGGAGCUAGGUUUAGGGUUUGCACCAUGCAAACCCUAGGUGGCCUUUAUACAUAGAUGUAUAAUUGCAUGUUAGUCCAUCGAAACUCAGUAUUUUUAGCUGAGUCCCUCACAGCGCGAGUAAAAUGCGUUGACACACCCCCAUAUUCGAUUUCACGCAAAACCGUAUGUAGGGCUUUUCGCAAAAUUUCCGUUUUGCAACUUAUGACCCCUCCUCGAUCCUCGCGCGAUAUCAGGAGAUCCGUCCAUCAGAUUUGCGAACGGACUACACCAGUACGUUCAGCACGACCAAAACAUCAUACCUACAAUUUUCGUUUGCCUGUUUUGGUCUCAUAUUCAUGAUGAAACCUAUCCUCUCUUCGAUUCAGCAAAAUCACACAUGUAUAAGAAAAUAUAUAUAUUCGAUAAUUGCCUCCAAAACCUCCAAUGAGAGAAAAUGCAGCCAAAGUCCCUCCCAACUAGUCUUCUCUCGCAGAAAGGUCCCCGCCCGAGGGUCCACAUGCAAAAUGGAGCAACGAGAAGUUUUAAAAAGCAAAGACGGUAAAGAACAAAAGUCUACUUUAUGAUAAAAUCCAAUUUUCUCGAGAACCGUUCGUCAAACCCAAAAUCUAUCAGUGCCAUUGGAUCCGGGAUAGUCGGAGCAUUGAAAAUGAGCUAUUGGAUCACCAUGAACGAAGUACGAUACACGCCAGAAGCCAUCUCUAAUCAUUGGCCUCUCCGAAAAACCCGGGUUACUAUUCACUUUAAGUGAAAAGUAUAGAAAACGUAAAAUCUGCAUUCUAACUCGUUUUCUCCCGAAACUUGACAAGUCCUUUUGUAAUUAAAAUACACAUAAAAAUAUCGUCAACAGAGAGUUUAGCUACUCUGCCAAAUUCUCAGUCUUUACAUCAUCCCCCCUUUAAAGAAAGUUUCAUUCCAGAAACUCGCUUACACACCCACCGAAAAUAGUUUUGGAUAUCACUUCACUAACGCACCAAGCACAGCGGUAGCGUGCAGAUAAACUCCUAAACUUGAGUACCAACACUCACCUCGGAUGCUACAACCUCCUACAAAUCCGAACUAUAAUUAAACAAAGCCAAACCUUAACCAUCGGAACCCUUCGAUGGCAUUCAACCUUCUUAGGUCCAAGACCUAACCUUCCGUCUAGACCAAAAGGUUGAAGGUUGCCACUACCAGUUGAGCCUGACAAUUUAGUCUGCUCUAAUGUAAUAUACCGAAAAUUCGAAAAAUAAAUGUCGAACUUUAGUCAAAUUGACCAACGUACGAGAUUGGUACACUUCGGAAAGUCCGAAGGCAUUAAAAUGAGUAAAAGUGCAUUGCGGGAGGUUUUCAAGAGCCAAAGAAUCAAAAAUCUGCAAACUGCAGUUUUUGGGCUCUCGGGGACCGGUCCCUGGUGGGAGAGACUGGUCCCCGAACGCGUGAGAAAUGAGAAAGAUGAAAAAUUGGCUAAGUCCCAAAAAAUCUGCUCUCGGGAACCGGUCCCUGUGGGAAGAGACCGGUCCCCGAGAGACCGGUCCCUCUGGGAGAGACCGGUUGCAUCGCGCGGGGGCCUUGGCUGCCGGCGGGGAGAGCUCUCUGGGACCGGUCCCUUGUCGGGGAGAUCGGUCCCCGAGCACGAAAACUGCCCAGUUCUGGCAGUUUAAUAAAGUGAAAGUUGAGGGGUUUAUUUGCAAUUAUGCAACCCAUAGAGCUAUGUAUGAGGGGUUAAGAGGUGUUUUCUCUCAUUCACACCCUCUCACACUCUCUCCUCUCUUUCUCUCUCUAGAAGACAAGAAGGAGAAGAAGAAGGAAAGAAAAAGAAAGGAAAGAAAGAGAAGAAGAAGGAGAAAAAGGUGGUGAAGAAGCUAAAGGAGUGAAGCAACUCCCCCAUCUUCUUCCCUAGCACAAAGAAAGGAAAGCUUUGAGGUAAGCUUUGAUCCCUUUCAUGGUAAAACCCUAGAAUGAGAACUAAAUGACCUAAGAAUGGUUUUGGUAGAACCUUUUGAGUGUUUGAAGCUUUCUUUUGCUUCUCUAAGAGAUUAAAACCCUAGUUUUGAUGUGGGAUGAGCUAGGGCACCCAAAUUUGGGGUUUUUGCUUGUGAGGGUUCCAAAGUGAAAUUGACCCUCUAGAAACCUAAUUUGGAGUAUUUCCGAAGCAUUGGCAUGCUCGGUUUAACGUUACGAAAAGCCUAUGCAAAGUUAUGAGCAAAGUGGCCUAAUAUGGCUUCGUUUUGCCGCAGGUGACGAACUAGGAGGCUAAAAAUUCCAAGAAAAUCACCGUAGCACCUAAGAAAGCCUACGAGGUGGGUGGUGCUCUCCAAACUUGUUGGAAUUCCCUUUAUGUCUAAUGUGUCACUUUUUGAGCAUACAUAUAUAAUUGUUGUAUGCAUAGUAGGGUAAUGAGAUUAUAAAUAUGUGAAUAUUUGCAUUUCGUGAGUUCAAGUGCAUCAUGAGAUUGUUGAGAACCUAUGAGAAUGUAAUAACCCUAUAUGUGCAUGUAAAAAGAGAUAUGAGUUUAGUGAAGUUAAAGAACAAGUGACAUAUGACAUGAGGACAAUGAAAUGUGAGAAUGAAAGCUAAAGAUAGUAUAAAGAUUGAUGUAAAGAACACUAGAGCUAGUGUGUGGCAUCAAAGAGAACAAAUGUGGUAUAAAGAAUGAUAAAAGCUAGAGUUAGCAAAUGUGUGGCAUUAAAGAAUGACAAUUGCUAGAGUUAGCAACAAAAUGUGGCAUAAAGAACAAUGGCUAGAGAUAGCAUUAAAUAUGGGGCAUAAAAGAAUGCUAGAGCUAAUACAUGACAUGAACGCUAGUAAAGAAUGUAAAGAAUACUAGAGUUAGUGUAAUGACAUAGUUGAAGAUAAAGAAUGCAAAGAACAUAAGAUUGACAUAAUGACAUUCAUCCUUAGAGCUAAGGGUCAUUUGUGCAUAAUUCCUUAGAGUUAAGGAACAGAUUGAACUGAACAUCCUUAGAGUUAAGGAUUGAUCAUACUCGCUAUAAGUCCUUGAUCGAGGGCGGUAGCUCCCCCUCGGGCGAUGCGCUCCGGAGUUUGUCAUCACUGGGUUGGUACUGUUCCCCAGAGGACGGUCCUAGCGAGAGGAAGCUGAGGGCCCGCGAUCAUGGAUUCUGAGUUCGUGAGUUAAUGAGGCGAUAUCCCCGGGUUAGCCUUGGGAUUGAACAAAGAAUAAAGAACAAAGAAUAAAGAAUAAAGAACAUAGACCAUGCAUUCUUCAUGAGUUAUAUUGAGCAUCAUUUUUUAUCGCAUUGUUCAGGCAUUAGUUGCAUUUAUAUAGUUGGCUACUUUUCAGCUUAUUCUUUCUAUGAUGCCUGAGUUAGACCUAAUGGGAAAGUCGGUGAGAUUGGGGCCGAACCCAAUGGAAACUUCAUUGUAGUUCUCACCCUACUAUUUACACAGAGCCAGAACCGAGCGAGCCGGCGAGCGACCGCGGUAAAGGUAUCGCGCCAUAGACAGUGACUACACGAGUCGGGUUUACAUUUUGUAGUAGUAUUCCCCUACUUCAUCUUUUGUAUUUGAUGAGUUGAGAUGUAAAAGAAAAAAGAAUGUAAUGUUUAUCUCGAGGAGAAUAUGAUGUAAAAAGAAAUGAUGAAAAGUAUGUAAAGAACUAUAAAUGUACAAGUUAAAUGCAAUAUAUGUGAUCAAAAGAGAAUCAUAGUAUUUGUGUAGAUGUUUAGCUUCCUUUCUUUCACUCAUGGCUAUUACUUACCCUUGCGUAAGCCGUUUGUGUAUGUUUCCGCUAGUGCUUUUCUCUACUCGAAAAUGUACAGGUGAUGAGCCUUUGGCGGACAGGGAAAACUCUGUCUGUUUGGCGUCUGUUUGACGUGCCCGGGCCGGCCCAAAUUGGUAUCGGUCCCGGGGCGUGACAGAUAUUGUGGUAUCAUAGCCUAAAGUGAAAGAAUAGGAAUGGACCUAGAGAUCCUUAGGAUUGGAAGACCUUAAGGAUCUAGGAAACGUGAGAGACGUGGAAUUAAGUUAGCGAAAGCAUAUAAUUGGGUCAAGUUGGGAUGUCUCUAAUGUGAUUAGAGGCUAGGUUUAAAUUGAUUUUUGUUCUCUACUUCUUGUGCUGUGUCGGGCGGCCGACGACAUAAUGCUUGGGGCAAGAACGAAUGCAUAAGAUGCUUUCGCCAAAUUGGGUAUGGCUAAGUAAUGUUGGUCAUGUAGCUAAUGCGAGUUGCUUCUUUUCAGGAAGCAAUGGCACCUCGUGGUCGACCGCAGACAAGGUCGAUGCUGGAGGAGCCGAGUGCGGCGCCCGAGCAAUCCGGAGCUAGUGGCGACGGUGAGCUUUGGGAGCAAAUGGCCGCGCUUAUCAGCAUAGUGUGGCAACAAGCGAAGUCUGUUCAACGCCAACGGGAGCAGAUCCAAAGGCUCUAGGAGGCCUUGGAGCGUCGGCAAGCAGCGGCGGCCCAGGCGGGUGGCGAGCAUGUCGUGCCCCCUGCGGUGGUGCCGAGCGUAGUUGAGGGAGCGGCGACAGCAACGGCUGUGCCAGUUACGGUAGUACCGGCCGGAUCGGGAACCUCAAAUCCCAAUAGUGCGGCAGUUAAGGCGGAGCGAGAGCGCGCGCUGGCGGCUCUUAUUCAAUUCCAGAAGUUCUACCCACCUAUCUUUGAGGGUGGAGUGGUGGAGCCGGUUGUAGUGGAGUCAUGGAUCGACUCGAUGGAAACGCUCUUCGAGGAUCUCAAUACCUCGGAGAAGGACAAUGUGUACCUCGCCACCCAUUGUCUCGAGAAGCCGGCGAAAGUGUGGUGGAAACGAGUUAAGCGGGAUCGACCUGCCGAUCUUCCGCUUAUGUUGUGGAAGGAGUUCAAGAGAGCGGUAUUCGCGAACUACUUCCCCGAUACGGCGAAGCGGAGACUACAAGAGAAGUUCUGCAAGUUGAGACAGGGUGAUCGAUCGGUGGGGGAAUAUGAGCAAGAGUUCUCUCACAUUAUCGACUGCGUUCCCAAUGUUGUUCGAGAUGACCGGGACCGGGCUGAUUGGUUCUUACGAGGACAUCAGCCGAGAUAUACAAGAAGGUGCAGUCUUAAAGUUGACGACCUUUGCGGAGGUCUUUGAUCGAGCCUUAUGGGCGGAGCAUGGUAGCGCCCACGUUCGAGAGGAACGGGAGGCUAUGGCCGAAAGCAAGGACAAAGGCAAGAAGAAAAUGGCGGGCGGUGCCGGGGGCCGGCCAAAUGCUAAGAAACCCCCUCGGCCCCGACAGCAGUCGAGGAACUGGAGACCACCUCGGUGCGUCAUUUGUGGCGAAGAGCACCGAGUGUCGGCUUGCCCGUAGCGAGACGACAAAUGUUUCAAGUGUGGCCAACCGGGACAUCUUAUCCGGGAGUGCCCGAACUGGACGUCGUCUGCGCCGACGGCGGCAUCAGCACCGACUACCCCGAGACAGCUUGCGGGGUUGCCACCAGUGAUGUCGGCUAGGCGCGCGUCAUCACCGCGUCAGCCAGAGGGGUCGAGAGCGCCUAGCGGUCGAGUCUUUGCCGCUCAGGUGGAGGAGCAGCCUGCAGCACCCAACGAUGUCGUGGCAGGUAUAAUUGAUUAAAGGCACUAGAGCUAGAGCUUUAUUUGAUACAGGCGCAUCUCAUUCAUUCAUUAGCGCAUUAUUUGCUCGAACUCAUGGCAUAGAGAUGGCAUACAACGAUGACUAUUGGUGGGUCAAUGCGCCGGAACAUUCGUUCAGAGUGCACGAGGAGUGUUUGGCUUGUCAAGUGCAAAUAGGCGAUUGGAUUAUGCCGAUAGUCUGCUAGUGCUAGAUCAGAUGUGGGGAUUCAAUGUUAUCUUGGGGACCAACUGGCUCUCCAAGUACUAUGCAGUUAUAGAUUGUGAAAGUAAGGUGAUCACUUUUCGUGAGCCUAAUCAAGAAGAAUUGGUAUACCAAGCGUACAAAAGUAAGCGCUUCGCGGCGACCAUAUCGUCGGUAAGGGCGAAGAAAAUGAUCAAAUGAGGGUGUAAGGCCUAUUUGGCAACCAUGGUAGACCCUCAGAAAGAGUACUCGGAGUUAGGGAAUAUUCGGGUAGUGUGCGAGUACCCGAAUGUGUUUCCGGCAGAGUUACCAGGAUUGCCACCUGACCGGAAAGUUGAGUUCGUCAUUAACUUGAUUCUCGGGGCGGUGCCAGUUUCGAAGGCUCCGUAUAGAAUGGCACCGGUGGAGUUAGUGGAGCUAAAAGCCCAAUUGCAAGACUUGCUCGAUAAAGGCUUCGCGAGGCCGAGUGUGUCACCGUGGGGAGCUCCGGUGCUGUUUGUGAAGAAAAAGGACGGCACACUUCGACUCUGCGUAGAUUAUCACGAGUUGAACAAAAUGACGAUAAAGAACAAGUACCCGUUGCCAAGGAUUGACGAUUUGUUCAAUCAGUUGCAAGGGUCCAAGGUGUAUUCGAAGAUUGAUCUCCAGUCGGGGUAUCAUAAAUUAAAAAUUAGGCCGAAGGAUGUGCACAAAAUGGCGUACCGUACGCGGUAUGGCCAUUAUGAAUUCACGGUAAUGCCGUUUGGGCUUACUAAUGCCCCGGCAGCAUUUAUGGACUUGACGAAUCAAGUCUUCAGGCCGUUGUUGGAUUGAUGCGUCGUGGUGUUUAUAGACGACGUAUUGGUUUACUCAAAGAGUGAAGAGGAGCACAAAGAGCAUCUGAGAGCUGUGCUGCAAAUACUCGGACAGGAGAAGCUCUAUGCUAAGUUGAAGAAAUGUGAGUUCUGGUUGAAGGAGGUCACAUUCUUAGGUCAUGUGGUAUCGGGCGGCGGGGUGUCAGUAGACUCGAAAAAUGUUGAGGCAAUAAAGGAUUGGCCUCGACCGACAAGUAUAGCGGAGGUACGCAGUUUUCUCGGACUUGCGGGCUAUUACCGACGGUUCGUGGAGGGGUUCGCUAAAAUAACUACUCCACUAACGCGCCUUACUCACAAAGGAGUAAAGUAUGUCUGGGGCGAUGAUUGCGAUCGGAGCUUUGAGGAGUUAAAGAACAGGUUGACAUCGACCCCAGUGCUUGCCUUGCCGACUCCGGGGGAGACCUUUGUAGUAUACAGUGACGCCUCAUAUAUUGGUAUCGGGUGUGUGUUAAUGCAAAAUGGGCGAGUCAUUGCAUAUGCAUCGUGCCAAUUCAAGAGUUAUGAGAAAAACUACCCGAUUCAUGAUCUCGAGUUAGGCGCGGUGAUCUUCGCGCUAAAGCUUUGGAGGCAUUACUUAUAUGGUGAGUAUUGUGAGGUCUACACAGAUCACAAGAGUCUCAAGUACUUGUUCACCCAGAAAGAGUUGAACAUGCGACAGCGGCGGUGGUUAGAGUUGCUAAAGGACUAUGAUAUCACUAUACUAUACCACCCGAAAAAAGCCAAUGUCGUGGCCGAUGCUCUAAGUAGAAAAUCGGCAGAGAACUUAGCGAUGGCAAUUACGCCUCAACCGCUAUUGCAUAAGGAAAUGCAACGACUUGGGUUGGAAGUGGUAGCGCCGGGAGUGCCGGCUAUACUCGCCACAUUAGUUGUGCAACCGACCCUUUUGGAAAGGAUCAAGGAACUACAAGCUUUGGAUCUUUAUCUUCAAAAGGUAUGAGGUGAAGUUGAGAAUGGUAUUGCCAAGGAUUUUGGCAUUGGAGCCGAUGGCGCACUUCGAUUCCGAAAUCGAUGGUGUGUGCCUAAGGAUAAUCACAUUCGAAGGGCGAUCAUGCGAGAGGCGCAUCAAUCUCCCUAUAGUAUACACCCCGGCGGUACUAAAAUGUACAAGGACCUAAAAGUAUAUUAUUGGUGGCCAGGCAUGAAAAGAGAUAUUGGGGAGUUCGUGGCGCAAUGUCUAACGUGCCAACAGGUGAAAGCAGAGUGCCGGUUUCCGGCGAAAAAGUACAAAGUCUAUCAAUACCUGUUUGGAAAUAGGAAGAUAUAGCGAUGGACUUUAUUACCGGUUUGCCUUGAUCGCAAGGUGGACACGAUGCGAUAUGGGUGAUAGUGGAUCGACUGACGAAGUCGGCCAUUUCUUGUCCAUUCACACUACGUGGUCGGGAGACAAGCUAGCUCAAGUGUAUCUCGACGAGGUUGUGAGACUUCAUGGGAUUCCGGUGUCAAUUGUAUCGGAUCGAGACCCCAGGUUCACAUCCUACUUUUGGAACAGCCUGCAGGACGCGCUAGGCACACGGCUUGACUUUAGCACAGCGUUUCAUCCUCAGAGUGAUGGUCAGUCGAAGCGGACGAUACAAAUCCUUGAGGACUUGCUUCGAGCGUGUGUACUAGAUUACAAAGGAGGAUGGUAUGAUUUCUUGCCAAUGGCGGAGUUCGCGUAUAAUAACAGUUAUCAAGAAAGCAUCGCGAUGGCGCCACUUGAGGCAUUGUAUGGACGAAAGUGUCGUUCUCCUAUUCAUUGGAAUGACGUGGGCAAGAGAACGGCUCUUGGCCCGGAUGUAGUGCGGGAAGCGGAGGAGAAAGUCCGCCUUGCCCGUCAACAGUUAGCGACGGCGCAAUCAAGGCAGAAAAGCUUUGUCGACAAGCGAAGAAAGGACUUAGAGUUCGCGGUUGGAGACCGCGUAUUUUUAAAAGUGUCACCAAUGCGAGGAGUCCAGCAUUUUGGGGUCCGCGGAAAGUUAAGUCCCCGCUAUGUUGGACCAUUUGAGAUACUAGAGCGUGUGGAUGCGGUAGCGUACAAGCUCGCACUACCACCUAGACUCGCGGGAGUUCACAACGUGUUUCAUGUGUCAAAUCUCUGAAAGUAUAUUCGUAAUUCGACACAUGUGUUAGAGUAUGAGCUCGUGGAGUUACAUAAGGAUAUGUCUUAUGAGGAGUACCCGAUGUGCAUCCUCGAUAGAGAAGAAAGAAAGCUGCGGAGUCGCAGAAUUCCUUAUGUAAAGGUUCAAUGGAGCAACCAUGCUGUGCGAGAAGCCACUUGGGAGCUUGAGGAGUCGAUGCGGAAAGAGUACCCGCAUUUGUUUGAGUCGACGAGUUAAGAUAUGUGUAAUUUCGCGGACGAAAUUAUUUUAAGGGGUGGAGAAUGUAAUAUACCAAAAAUUCGGAAAAUAAAUGUCGAACUUUAGUCAAAUUGACCAAAGUACGAGGUUGGUACAAUUCGGAAAGUCUGAAGGCGUUAAAAUGAGUAAAAGUGCAUUGCGGGAGGUUUUCGAGAGCUAAAGAAUCAAAAAUCUGUAAACUGCAGUUUUUGGGCUCUCGGGGACCGGUCCCUUGUGGGACAGACCGGUCUCCGAACGCGUGAGAAAUGAGAAAGCUGGAAAAUCGGCUGUCCCAGAAAACCUGCUCUCGGGAACCGGUCCCUGCGGGGAGAGACCGGUCCCCGAGAGGCCGGUCCCUCUGGGAGAGACCGGUUGCAUCGCGCUGGGGCCCUAGCUGCCCGCGGGGAGAGCUCUCUAGGACCGGUCCUUUGUCGGGGAGACCGGUCUCCGAGCACGAAAACUGCCCAGUUCUAGCAGUUUAAUAAAGUGAAAGUUGAGGGGUUUAUUUGCAAUUAUGCAAUUCAUAGAGCUAUGUAUGAGGGGUUAAGAGGUGUUUUCUCUCAUUCACACCCUUUCACACUCUUUCCUCUCUUUCUCUCUCUAGAAGACAAGAAGGAGAAGAAGAAGAAAAGAAAAAGGAAGGAAAGAAAGAGAAGAAGAAGGAGAAAAAGAUGGUGAAGAAGCUAAAGGAGUGAAGCAACUCCCUCAUCUUCUUCCCUAGCACAAAGAAAGGAAAGCUUUGAGGUAAGCUUUGAUCCCUUUCAUGGUAAAACCCUAGAAUGAGAACCAAAUGACCUAGGAAUGGUUUUGGUAGAACCUUUUGAGUGUUUGAAGCUUUUUUUUGCUUCUCUAAGAGAUCAAAACCCUAGUUUUGAUAUGGGAUGAGCUAGGGCACCCAAAUUUGGGACUUUUGCUUAUGAGGGUUUCAAAGUGAAAUUGACCCUCUAGAAACCUAAUUGGGGGUAUUUGCAAAGCGUUGGUGCGCUCGGUUUAACGUUACGAAAAGCCUAUGCAAAGUUAUGAGCAAAAUGGCCUGAUAUGGCUUCGUUUUACCGCAGGUGACGAACUAGGAGGCUAAAAAUCUCAAGAAAAUAACCGUAGCACCUAAGAAAACCUACGAGGUGGGUGGUGCUCUCCAAGCUUGUUGGAAUUCCCUUUUUACGUCUAAUGUGUCACUUCUUGAGCAUACAUAUAUAAUUGUUGCAUGCAUAGUAGGGUAAUGAGAUUAUAAAUAUGUGAAUGCUUGCAUUUUGUAAGUUCAAGUGCAUCAUGAGAUGGUUGGGAACCUAUCUGUCACGCCCCGCGACCAACCGCCUAUUUGGACAGGGUCGCGGCGCCGACGACAGACCGCCGAACGGACCGGGGAUUCCUUUGUACGCGGACAGAGUCUCCCCAAUACGUCCAAGGCGUCGCAAUCCAAACAAUCAACGAAUGUUCCAACUAGGAACGGAUAUCAAUCCAGAUUGCAUAAGGAAGUAUCAAAUACAUAAUCUACUUGCUAUUACAAUCAUUAAUUUUACAAUCACUUUUUACAUCACAGUUUCUGUUUACAUUUUUACUUCCAAAUUACAAUCUCGCUAUUACAUCAGAGUUAUCAAGUUUGAUACAUUUUCUUUUCUUGUCUUCUAGACCCCUAAGCUAGACUGUCUCAGGGUACUGCUACCUCGGUCUCUGUGGUGGGGCGCUAUCUACUGAGCUACGCCCUCGCCUCGCGCCGCCGCGCCACACACGAACAACCUGAAAACACCCCAAAACCACGUGGGGUGAGAACCAACACCAUGGUUCCCAGUGGGUACGGCCACCCAAGGGAAAAGCUCGACCGAUAGGUCCGAGGAGGCACUGCAACAUGUUAGUUCAACAAUAUAAACAGAUAUAUAUAUUCAAUUGAAAUACAUGCCAUGCCUCACGAUAUGCGAUAUGAAAAUCAUGCAACAACUAGUAGAUCAUUUGAAUUCUACUUUUACUUGGCUACUUUAGCUCAUAACUUUACUCUAUGGUUUCUAUUACCUUAGGAUCACAACACUAACCACUGGCUUCUAAGGUUUCUAUUACCUUAGCUCAAGCCUCUAUCUCUAGCUCAUAAGGGUUCCUCUACCCUAUCAUAGCUAACCACCCGACUCGGUUUCGAGUCAAUCAAUCGCGGAUAGUCCGUGCACUAUCUAGCUCGAGGUGAAGGAACUCUCACAUGCACCUCAGCUGGCAACAGCUCACCGUACUCCUGUCCUAGCCGUCUGGCGGCGAACGAAUCGCACCUCACCCAACAACGGCCUAGGUCCAUGACUUAGCCACCCGGCGGCGAAAUCGUCGCACAAAUGUCACGACAGUGGUUCAAUCAACAAGCGGUAGGAUCCACAAACUGGCUAACCAUCCGGCGGCGAAAUCGUCGCACACGCCACGACAAUGGUUCUUUAGCCCUUGGGCGGCGAAAUCGUCGCACACACCCGACACCACUUUGGGUGUAUCUUUUUAGCCUUGGGAUUCCGGAAUCCAUUUCACAUCACAUUGGGGUUGGUCUUAACCCUAUGGAAUUGACCUCUCUAGGUCUAAGCUUUUACUCAACCUAAGCUCACCCCUUAGGUUUAUUGCUUUCACAUUCUUAACCUAAGUUUAUUACACUAGGAUCAUUAUUCUUUCCAACCUAAGUUCACUUGACUCUAGGUUAAGUACCUUUCAUUUCACGACCUAUGUUUAUUAACACUAUGUUAGAUGCCACUCGAUCUAAUUCACAUACUAAUUGUCCAAUCAAGCAUUCUACUCAUUCUAGAGUUAUCAAUUCUCAUUUUUCAAUGUUAUCUCUCUAAUCAAGCUAGAGUUAUCAACCAAGUUCAUAUGCAUAUAUAAUCUCACUUUAACUUAAUGUCAUCAACAUGCAUUUCAUUCUAUGCAUUAUGCUUACAUGCAUUCACAUAAUUAUCUACCAUUAUUCAACUUGCUCAUAAUGCAUUCUAUUUAGCAUUUACAUCAUACUAUCAAUAUGCAUUAUUUAGCUACAUGCAUCAUUUACGUGCUUCAUUUACAUUUAUAUGCAUCAACAUGGAUUCUUAGUUUCUUAGACAUAAAGGGCGACCUAGUCGCUUCGGUAAGCACAACCCACCUUAAUUUGCGUUCCGAUUGCUUGUUGACACUUGCAAUCGGCCUCCCGCGGCACCCUUAUCCGGCACGGCCCGAUACUGCAACUGCGCCUCAACCGUGCUCCGCUUCGCAGCCCCGAAAAUUAUAGGUCUUCGGUUAUAUGCCACGAUGCCUCAAAUCCAUUUCCAUGAUUUUACGACGUCGCCUCGGCCCUCCAGGCGGAAACGAAACCUAAACGUCUGUUUCUUUAAUAACUUCGCGUAGGCUCGACGAAUCGCCGAACCGACUUCGCCAACGCGUUCGUUUACCUAGCAAUUAGGUUUAUACAUGAUCAAUUUAGAUCAAAACCCCUCACAAGUAAAAACCCCUCUUUUGAUGCCCUAAGAUGCAACUAUGCAAGAAUUCAUCAUUUUAUCUCAAAAUUCGAGCAUCAACCAUCUAUUUAGCAUCUAGGAGUUUCACUAAACCCAUUUCUAAGGCAUACAAAUCGUUACUUAGCAAUCUACCAUUAUUACUAACAAAGCUUACCUCUCAAACCCAUGCUCUCUUCAAGCCAAUGGUGAAGAAAAGGAAAGCUUUACCUUUAAGUAAGCUUUUCUCUACCAACUCCACACUUUGGAGCCAAUCCUAAAGAGAGAGAGAGAGAGGUUUCUCUUAUGUUGGCUCAAAUGGAGAGGAAUGAGGGAAAUGACAUAACACCCUUAUAUAUAUAUAGGAGGAAACUUCACCUCCAAGUAAACUCCCCCAAAACACUAUUCACUCCAGGCAGUUCGAAAUCUGAUAUCUUUCGCCGGAACUCCCUGAACAUCCGUUUGAGCUCAAAUUUGACAGUCAUGUUCGGUCUCACUUAACGAGUCCAAAGAAAUUUUAAUAUUUCAGUUUCGACCCCGUUUGGUCACCGAAAGCUGUACCGAACUAUAAUCUUUAUCAGAUAGCUUUCGGAUUCUAGUUUUCACCUUCCGGGUGUCAGAAUGGCAUGGAACUUUAAAUCUAGCAUCAUAAAAAUAUUUAUGACAUCUUCGCUAAUUUUCAUAAUUUUCUGACACUGUGCAUUUUCUGCUAAUUUAUCUGCCCUGUUUCUUACAGAAAAUUCUAAAUCUUCUGUUGUCGCUCCGAUUUCAGCACAGGUCAUUCCCAACUUAUAUUUCACUUCUCUAAAUCCAAUAAAAAUAGUAUCUCAUACUAUUUUUAUUUAUUUUCACUUUUAUAUUUAAAAUCCGGUAUGUUACAUUCCGCCGCAACCUCACCGGAGCCAUUUAAAUGUACACGGUAACUUCAUAGUUUUAGAAGUCCGGUACCUUACACUAUGAGAAUGUAAUAACCCUAUAUGUGCAUGUAAAAAGAGAUAUUAGUUUAGUGAAGUUAAAGAACAAGUGACAUAUGACACGAGGAAAAUGAAAUGUGAGAAUGCAAGCUAAAGAUCGCAUAAAGAUUGAUGUAAAGAACACUAGAGCUAGUGUGUGGCAUCAAAGAGAACAAAUGUGAUAUAAAGAAUGAUAAAACUAGAGUUAGCAAUGUGUGGCAUUAAAGAAUGACAAUUACUAGAGUUAGCAACAAAAUGUGGCAUAAAGAACAAUGGCUAGAGAUAGCAUUAAAUAUGGGGCAUAAAAGAAUGCUAGAGCUAAUGCAUGACAUAAACGAUAGUAAAGAAUGUAAAGAACACUAGACUUAGUGUAAUGACAUGGUCGAAGAUAAAGAAUGCAAAGAACAUGAGAUUGACACAAUGACAUUCAACCUUAGAGCUAAGGGUCAUUUGUGCAUAAUUCCUUAGAGUUAAGGAACAGAUUGAACUGAACAUCCUUAGAGUUAAGGAUUGAUCAUACUCGCUAUAAGUCCUUGCUCGAGGGCGGUAGCUCCCCCUCGGGCGAUAAGCUUCGGAGUUUGUCAUCACUGGAUUGGUGCUGUUCCCCAGAGAACGGUCCUAGCGGGAGGAAGCUAAGGGCCCGCGAUCAUAGAUUCUGAGUUCGUGAGUUAAUGAGGCGAUACCCCGGGGUUAGCCUUGGGAUUGAACAAAGAAUAAAGAACAAAGAAUAUAGACCAUGCAUUCUUCAUGAGUUAUAUUGAGCAUCAUUUUUUAUCGCAUUGUUCAGGCAUAUUAGUUGCUUAAAUUUAACUAUUUAAAUUUUCAGCAAAUGAAACUGUACAUUCAGUUUCCAAAUAAUAGCUAAUUACCAACAAAGCUACUAAAAUUAGCAAUAAUCCCAUUUUAAAUGAGUAGAAUGAAGUAAUUUGAUAUUGAUAGAUUACUAACUGUUGAUGCCAAAAUUAAAAUUAGGCAGGAACGGUUGAGAAGUGGGAUGUAACUUCCACGAUCAUGGCUACACCACUCCCCCCACUACUAAAAACUGACCAAUAAUGUGGGCUGAGAAGACAUCACUAUAAAUAGUAAUUUUGAAGCCUGCAAUAGAGGUCUUUUCCCCGUGAACAGAAGACCACCUUUAUUUCCUCUACAAUUUCUUCGCAUUUUCUAGGAGUAGUCUACUUGUAAUCUUUUACUUUCUCGCACUUACCGUUUUACCUAGGAGUAGAGUUAAGUUAGAUCAACCGAGUCUGUAUGUCCUCAGGCACACUCGACCUUUGUACUGUUCUUGCAAGCUAAUUCUAAUAUAUCAAGGCAUUCGGCUCAUCAGCCGACCUGAAAUCCUUUGUUUUCUAUACAUUUGGCUCAUCCAGCCAGCCGAACCUAUUCUGUAAUAGAAGAUUCCCAACUCGGCUGAUCCGAUCCUUCAUCAGCCGAAUCACUUGAUCCAGUCGAAGGGCACAAACUUCGAGGGUCACUAAUCGUAGCCGUUUCGCAUCUCGACGCGCUUUUCGAGGAAGAUCUUUGACCGGGCCAAAGAAGAGGGAAUUCGGCACCUAAUAAUUUUGGCAUGCCCAGUGGGACACACUUAGGUUUUCCCAAUCUAGAUUUUGUCCUAUGGCUGACGAUAAUGCUAUGAACCUCCGGAAUAGAGUCAUUCCCAGGCCUUCAAGGAAUAACCAAGCUAGUAGCGCCGAAAAUGCGAAUGAGAAUCAGGCGGUACUACCUAUUGGAGGAGAGAUUAGUGAAUAGUCGGCUCAUCAAGAGUCGAGUCUAACUCAGGUACUCAACCAGAUGACCCGAGUCCUGCAAACUGUAGAUCAAAAUAUCCAUCAAAGUACCGCUCAACUAGACACGGUGCUGGCUGCUAUCACGGCCUACAAUAAAAAUAUUGUUCGAAUCAGACAGUUAUUUACCCAAAACGAGCAACCUUACGGGGGCAACAGGGCCCCUAAAUGUGUUGGUGCAACAAAAUCCCGUCACGUCGGUGGUCUCAUAGGCACAACCGCAAAUAGCACCUUUCCAGGCUUCUUAUAGGCCGGCGAAUAUAAACGCCAGCCCACAGUCGAAGAUUGCAUCGGGUUUACCUCCUUUACCAGCUUACCAGCCCCAAAACGUGGGCGUAAGGGCUGGAGGCCAAGGCUCCAACAGGUUGUAGGAACUAAACUCUGUAAUGCAAAAUUACGGACCGCCUUCAGGGCCGAAUGUGGUUCCGGCCCCGGUUUCUGCUUCGGCAGCAAGAAAUAAUGAGUUAUACGCUCAAAUAGGAGAGGUGAUUCGAAACACAUUUGAUAUAGGGGCGAGGUCGGCAGUGCGGCUUGUAUUUAGAUCCCCAUAUCUCGUGAACAUCGACGCAGAGAAUCUGUAUUCGGCAAACUGAAAAAUGCCGAAGUUCAACAAGUUCUCGAGCGAUGAGACCGAGAAUACGGUUGAGCAUGUAGCCCGGUUCACAGCCCAAUGUAGAGAAGCGAGCGCUGACACAUUUUUGAAACUUUGAUUAUUUAACACGUCGUUAACUAAAACGGCGUUUACUUGAUAUGCAAGUUUACAAGCCAAUUUCGUCCGAGAUUGGGAUGAAUUGGAAAGAAAAUUUUAUGAGCAAUUAUAUAGGUCGGAGCCACAAUUAUCAGUUGCCGACUUGGCUUUAUACCGACAAAAGUCAGGUGAAACGGUCGAAGAGUGUAACGCCCCAAAAUUUGACUAUAAAUAUUUAAAAAGAUUCCAAAAUGAUUUUGAGGGUUAUAGCCAGUUUUAUAUGAUUUGAACUCAAUUGAGUCUAAUCUGUCAUUGCACCAACAACCACUUUGGGAAAACUUUUAACCAUGUUAUCGACAUCCGAUUCAGGCGAAAUUGGUCUCGUUGGAAAGAUCAUCGAGUCAUCUUUCUAACGCAACCUGAACCAUGUCUGCCGCGAACGAACCGGCGCCGCCGUAGGUAUUUUUAAGGCAAGUGGUCAUUCAUGGUAGAGAUCAAAUUUGUUUAAAUUUUAUUUUAAAAUUAGGAUUAUAGGUUCAUGGCUUCCAACAGACUCAAGAAUCUGUUAUUAAUUACCCCACACUUUCAGUGUUAGGGAACCCUCGAUUAAGAGACUGAAUAUAAAUGCUGAUAAUAAAAGAGACCGAACAGACAAAUAAGAUUUUAUUAAUAUGAUUUGUCGUGUACAUGGCUUAAGCAAGGGCAUUCCCCCACUUUACAUAGAUUUCAUAAAAUUAAAUACUCAGUUUAUAGACUUGAUGGUCAUGUCUGAACUUGAUUUGCCCGGUUUAGCGACUUGGCGGUCGAUUGAAGUUGAGAUGCUCAGUUUAGCGGCAUGGCGGUCGAUUUUAAAUUGAGUUGCUCAGUUUAAUGAUAUGGCGGUCGGUUUGAAUUUUGAUGAUCAGUUUAAUGACAUGGCGGUCGGUUGAAGUUGAGAUGCUCAAUUUAGUGACAUGGCGGUUGAUUUGAAUUAUAGUGCUCAGUUUAAUGAUAUGGCGGUCGAAUAUUCAGUUUAAUGACUUAAUAGUCAUUCGUUCAGUUUAACGACUUGACGGUCACAUCUGAACAUGAUUUGCUCGGUUUAGCGACUUGGCGGUCGAUUGAAAUUGAAGUGCUCAGUUUAGCGACAUAGCGGUCGAUUUUAGAUUGAGUUGCUCAGUUUAAUGAUAUGGCGGUUGGCUUGAGUUUUGAUGCUCAGUUUAAUGACAUGGCGGUCGAUUUAAGUUUUGGUGCUCAGUUUAAUGACAUGAUUGUCGAGGGGGUUUGAUUUGAUUGUUCAGUUUAACGACUUGGCGGUCAAAAGUUCAGUUUGAAUGACUUAAUAGUCACUUGUUCAGUUUAACGACUUGACGGUCAUAUAUGAACUUAAUUUGCUCUGUUUAGCGACUUAGCGGUCGAUUUUAAAUUGAAUUGCUCAGUUUAGAGACAUGGCAGUCGAUUGAAGUUGAGGUGCUCAGUUUAGCGACAUGGCGGUCGAUUGUUCAGUUUAACGACUUGAUAGUCAUUUGUUCAGUUUAACGACUUGACGGUCGUUUCUGAACUUGACUUGCUCAGUUUAGUGACUUGGCGGUCGAAAGGGUUUGGUUUGAUUGCUCAGUUUAACGACUUGGCGGUCGAAAGGGUUUGGUUUGAUUGCUCAGUUUAACAACUUGGCGGUCAAAAGUUAAGUUUGAAUGACUUAAUAGUCACUUGUUCAGUUUAACGACUUGACGGUCAUAUCUGAACUUGAUUUGCUCAAUUUAGCAACUUAGCGGUCGAUUUUAAAUUGAAUUGCUCAGUUUAGCGACAUGGCGGUCGAUUGUUCAGUUUAACGACUUGAUGGUCAUUUGUUUAGUUUAACGACUUGACGAUCGUUUUUGAACUUGAUUUGCUCAGUUUAGCGACUUAGCGGUCGAAAGGGUUUGGUUUGAUUGCUCAGUUUACGACUUAGCAGUCAACUUGAGAUGCUCAUGAAACUGAUUCGUGAAAUUAAUUCAUGCUAAGAGCCCGUUUGUAAAGUCCAUUAAAUUAAUUGAUGAAAUUAAUUCAUGAUAGGGGACCAAUUGGAGAGCCCAUUGAAUUGGGUUUUAUAAAAUUAAUUUAUGAUAAGGAGUCAUUUGGAAGGCUUAUUAGUUCAUGAAAUUAAUCUAUGACAAGGAGGGCCUAUGAAAUUAAUUCAUCGAAUUAAUUCGUGAUAGGGGGCCUAUUUGGCAAACCCAUAAAAUUAAUUUGUAGAAUUAAUUCAUGAUAAGGGAUUCAAUUGGAAAGCCCAAGGAAUUAAUUCGUAGAAUUAAUUUAUGAUAAGGGGCCCAUUUGGAAAGUCUGUAAAAUUAAUUCAUGAUAAGGGGGCCUAUUUUGCAAACCCAUGAAAUUAAUUCGUAAAAUUAAUUUAUGAUAAGGGGUCAUUUAGAAAGCCCAGAAAAUUAAUUCAUAGAAUUAAUUCAUAAUAAAUGGCCCAUUUGGAAAGCCCAUAAAUUCGGUUUGGGUUGGAGGUAUUUGGAUGAUAUAGGUUUGGUAGAUUUGGUUGGAUUUUAUUUGUGAACUUUGGAUUUGGAUCUUUAUUUGUGGACUUUCGGUUUUGGAUCUUUAUUUGUAGACUUUGGGUUUUGGAUCUUUAUUGGUGGACUUUGUGGACUUUGGGUUUUGGGUCUUGUUUAUAGGUUUGGGGUUUUGGGUUGAGGAAUUUAUUCAUAUGGUUUUUUUUUUUUUUUUUUUUUUUUUUUUUUUUUUUUGUCUUGGUUUUGGAUCUAAAUCUGCAUAUGGGUUGAGGUUGGUUUCGGGCUGUACAUGUUCUGGGCCUUGGACCCGAAUCUGCAUGUGGACUUGGAUUGGUUUUGGACUUUAUAUAUUCUGGGCCUUGGACCCGAAUCAGCAUAUGGACUGAAAUUGGUCUUGGACUUUACAUGUUCUGGGCCUUGGACCCGAAUCAGCAUGUGGACUAAAAUUGGUCUUGGACUUUACAUGUUCUCGGCCUUGGACCCGAAUCAGUGUGUGGACUAAAAUUGGUCUUGGACUUUACAUGUUCUGGGCCUUGGACCCGAAUCAGCAUGUAGACUAAAAUUGGUCUUGGACUUUACAUGUUCUGGGCCUUGGACCCGAAUUAGUGUGUGGACUGAAAUUGGUCUUAGACUUUACAUGUUCUGGGCCUUGGACUCGAAUCUGCAUGUGGGCUUUAUUAUUUCUUUUUUUUAACUGUUUAUGGAAUUUAUUCAUUGAGCCCACAAGUAAAUGAUGGAUUGAACCAUUUUCAAAUUAAAUAACUCAAAUUCAUUUCAUCAAAUUUUCUUGUUCCAUUUUUUUUGUUCUUCUUCUUUUUUUUUUUUUGACUAAGAGAAGGAACAACUCUUCUUUUUUUUUUCUGUUUUUUUUUUUUUUUUUUUUUUUUUCUUUUUUUUUUCUUUCUCUUUCUUCUUUUUGGUUCUUUUUUUCUUUUUUUCUUUUUUUCUUUUGUUGACUGCCAGAGGGAAUCUCUCUCUCUCUCUCUCUCUCUCUCUCUCUCUCUCUCUAUACGAAACCGAGAGAAGGGGUGCCCUCCUUUUCUUUCUUUUCUUUUUUUUUUUUGCUGUUUUUUUUUUGUGCUUAUUCAUUUUUUUUUGUCCGAAGUACGAAAUUUUGUCUCUCUUUUUUUAAAAAAAUAUACGAAAUUGAUCACAUUGAGAAAUACGAUCAAAUCGAAUGAAGAUGGCGAAUCCAAAGAGAACCCUUCCAUUUUUUUAUUAUCAUUUUUUUUUUGUCGUUCAAGUACGCAGGAUUUAAUCGUGUCGAGCCUAUCAUGAAGUUGGCCACUCGAUUAAUUCUUUCGACCAUGUCGAGCUUAUCGCGAAGAUGGCCACACGGUUUACGUAGCGAAAUAAACGGUGCUCGAUCACCCAUUUUGACCAUGUCGAGCCUAUCGCGAAGAUGGCCGGACGGUUUACAUAGCAAAAUAAACAGUGCUCGAUCACCCAUUUUGACCUUGUCGAGCCUAUCGUGAAGAUGGCUGCACGUUUUACGUAGUAAAAUAUCCGGUUCGAUCAAUCAUUUUGACCAUGUCGAGCCUAUCACGAAAAUGGCCGCACGGUUUAGAGAUUAGCGAUGCAUACGCGUGACGGAAGCAACAAUUUAAUGUCAAAUUUGAUCGGUUCGAUAUCACGAAGAUGGUCGGGUUGAUCAGAUUGACAAAAAAAGCACUUACGCUAUGCGUAUGCAUGCAUAUCUCCUAUUGUUGUAGAAGUCGUCGUAAUUGUUGUUGUCGAAGUUGUAGCCGAGUUCAAGAGCAAAAUUCCUUCUUUUUUUCCUUUUUUUUUUGUUGCCGUGUACGGACAGAGGAGGGGGUGCACAUGGUGCCCCCUCUGCCAGCAAGCCCAAGGCUACACAAGGGGGAGAGAGAGAGAGAUAGAGAGGAGAGUAUAUAAAAAAAAAAUUUCGCCUUUUUCUUUCUUUUUCUUCUUCUUUCUGUUCUUCUUUUUUUUCUUUUUUUUUUCUUUUUCUUCUUUUUCGGUUCUCCCCUUUCUUCCUUCCUCUAAAAAAAAAUUCUCUCUAGAUCCCUUUUUCGAAAUUUGGACCUUAUUUUAUAUAGGAUUCAAAGAUGAUUCCCAUUUGGGAAUAAUUUUAAAAAAAUCAGCUUAUUGAGGAAACAAAUCUCAAUCAACUAAUUAUACCUCUUUUGUUUUAUUUUGAAUACUUUCCUUCUUUUUCUUUUGAAUCUUUCCUUUUCCUAUUUCCUUCCUUCUAUAUUUUCAAUUUGAAUUUUGAACUUUUUUUUCUCAAACAAACCACCUUAAACGGAUAUCGGACGAAAGAGUUAUUGCAAUUUUUCUAAUAGCCGUUGAUACAAUCCUGAGCUGCGAGCUAGUUCGAAAUUUCACCAAUUGUUAUGGGCAGUUUGGUAAAAUUACUAAUUAAAAAUAUAACUUAUCAAUUUAGUUGGUUAACUAUUGGUCCAACCAUAAUUUUUUCCAAGAAAAUAUUGAGUAAAAUUACAUAAACGCCCUUAAGUGGGCUGGUUUGAAUGGGAGAAGAGAAAACUCUUCUAUUCCCAUUCCCUUCUUCUUUUUCCCAUUUCCCCUUUCUCUCAAUACCCUAUUUCCCCUCUCUUCUACUUAGUAAUGAGAUGAAGGAUUUUUCCUUCAAAUUGAAGGGAUUUAGGAGCAGAACCUUUGGAGAAGGAAACCCAUUUUCAAGUUGAAACUCUAGCUAGAGAACAAAGUAAGUAAAUUUUCGGUUUUGUGCUUUGUGAGUAUCAAAGAAUGAAUAUUUUGAGUUGCAUGCAUGUUUUUCUAUUCUCUUUGAAGGUCCCAAGCUAUCCUUUAUGGAUUGGUUAUAGUUUUUGAAGAUUUUAUGACACUAUAUUCAAAUAUUGAUGCCCUAAAUUGGGGGUUUUUGCCCUAUUAUGAAAUUUUCUUGUGAUUUUAGGGUUGGGACCCUAAGAGCCCAAAAUGAGAUUUUUGAUAAUUAACUUUUAGUUCUUUCUACUUGAAUUUAGGGGCCAAUACAUAGUUAUAUGAAUUGCUUUUACUUUUAAGAGGUUUUGAUGAGUUAGUUGCAUGUUAUGAGGUUCCAAAAAUUAGGAUUUUGAUCAACUACAAGAUUAACCUUUUGUAGUUGAUUUUAAGAGUUUAGAAUCCUUAAAUUGAAGUGUCUAUCAUGUUCAAAUAUAUUGGGCAUGAAUGUACGAUUGAGCUAAGUUGUUUAAUCAAAUUUAAAUUUAGUUUGUUAAUAUUUCGAUCAAUUUAUGCUAUUCUCGGGUUGGACUAUUCCGGUUAGUUUUCGGAAGGUAUAAACAUCUUGUUAAGGUGUCGUUUGUUAAAAUUAAGUACCCCAAACCCUUUUAUAGAGUUUGAAUGAGUUAUUUUAAGGUUUUUAUCUAUUUUUAAAGAGUUAUGAGCUCCCAAAAUAGGGACUUUUGUUCUAACCCGAGAAUAGAGUAUAAUAGUCGAAGUGAUGGACUUAAAUAAGUCUAAAUCAUUUAAGAUUACGAAAAAUAAAAGAUUAAUGGAGAUACUCAUUAUUUGUAUGUUAGGUACUUCGGGCGUGCAUGCCGGAGCUCCUACGGCCGAACCUUCCACAUCUUAGAUCAGUCUUUUCUUAUUUUGAGGUGGAAUCCUUAUCUAUAAAUGAUGAACCUUAGUGGUCCUCUUAGUAUCAUACAUGCAUAUAUAUAUAUUGCUAUCGAAUGUUCGUAAUUCUUGUUGCGUGUUUAAUUAUUGUUCUAAGAACUUAUGCCAUCGUUGUUUAUUCUUUGGUUCACAAUGCAAUGGAAGUUGAUCUUAUACUCUAGCAUAUCUCUUAUUAUCAUAUUGUACUAGUAGAGGGUAUGCAUUUGUAUUGGAAGGUAGCAUAAUCUUGAUUAUUUGUUAAUUCCAAAAUAUAACAUGAUUGUUGGGACAUUGACCCUAUUUGGAUUCGCCGCUAUGCUUAUGGUACUCCCCGGGCCAUCUUGGAUGGCUCCUUGUGAUGUGGGAGUUUGAGUGAGAGAAGGCAUGAGUGGGUUAUCGGUGGUGGUCGCUCCCCACGCGGUAAGCCCUUUGCUCCCCGGGUUGAGAUUUGGAUUACGCAUUUACUCGAUUGUAGGUCGAGUUGGAUUUUUGUUGGGUCUUUUCUAGUUGAUUAUGCUUAUCCUAUGAUUUUACCAUUUACUUAUUGAGUAUAGUUGCUAUCGUUGAUCAUAAUGGUAGAUUCAUAUGUAUGUUUAUUAAUCAUUCAUAAUCAUUGUUUAUCUUUCCGUUGAUCACCUACUAUUAGGUUAGUGGGAAUUAUUGUCUCUAGAUGAGCUUCCACUGGGAACUAUUGUUAAUAGUUCUCAUUAUGUGGAUAUUACUAAUUUUUCAGGUAUGACCUUUGAGAUGAGAUCGGGCGAGACGACGACUAUAGUUAGAUAGUAGCAUGUUGAUCGUCUCCAUUUUUGUAUUAUGUAGAUCUUAUUUUUGUAUUUUGGACAAUCAUUUUGGAUAUGUAUUAGGUCAUAUUGGGACUAUGAAUUGUACAAACUUGCUACUUGUUAAGUUCAGGGCAUAACCAUUUAGAAGUUUUAUGUAUGCUUAAAUGGAAUGGUAUUUUGGAUAACCAAUCGUUACGUUGGUAACUUUGGGAUGCUUAAAAUUUGUGAAUUGUUUAUUUAAAUUUAUCAUAUUGUAGGGAUGUUGAUAUUAACGCCGGACAUACUUAAGAUUUCAAUCUUAAGUUAUGUGGUGGGUCUGUAGCUGUUUUACCUCUGUGGUGCUCACCGCUACCGGGGUGCUGCAAAGAGUAUUUGAACCGUUUCAAAAUAGCCAAAAUCCGGUGCUUUAUGAGAAUGCCAAAAUCAGAGUUCGCCAAAAUGGCGUUAAAUUGUUUGCAUUUUAAGAUAAAAAGACUAUUUUGAAGAUAAGUAUUUUUCUAACUUAUUUGAUCUAGGUGUUCAAGUUGCCCAAUAUGAGCAAUUUCGGAAGAAAAGUGAGGACGAUCGGCUGCAAUGGAGCCGAUAUAAAAAUCAAAACAAAGGCAAGGAGAAAUCCUUAAUAGAAGAACAGUCAGUUGAAAAAGAGCCGAGCCAAUCGAGUGAAAGUGAAGAAUCGGCUGAUGAAGCCGAGGUAUAUGCGGCUGGUAAAGAGCCACUUUCUUCAAGGAGAAAUCCUUGAUAGAAGAACAUUCGGUUCAAGAAGAGCCAAACCAAUUGAGUAAAAGUAAAGAAUCGGCUGAUGAAGCCGAGGUAUAUGCGGCUAGGAUGAUAAAGAGCCGUUUCUUUAAGCCGACCAAGACCAGCGAAACUAAAGCUUGGGUCUCGGCUGUGUCAUUGAGCAGUCGAUUUGGCACCAAUAGGCAUCCGAAUGUUCAUUCGAAAGACUAUUUGGGGGGCAUUGUUGAUGCCAAAAUUAAAAUUAGGCAGGAACUGUUGAGAAGUGGGAUGUAACUUCCACGAUCAUGGCUACACCACUCCCCCCACUAUUCAAAACCGACCAAUAAUGUGGGCUGAGAAGACAGCACUAUAAAUAGUAAUUUCGAAGCCUGCAAUAGAGGUCUUUUCCCCGUGAACAAAAGACCACCUUUAUUUCUUCUACAAUUUCUUCGCAUUUUCUAGAAGUAGUCAACUUGUAAUCUUUUACUUUCUCGCACUUACCAUUUUUCCUAGGAGUAGAGUUAAGUUAGAUCAACCGAGUCUGUAUGCCCUCAGGCACACUCGACCCUUGUACUGUUCUUGCAAGCUAAUUCUAAUAUAUCAAGGCAUUCGGCUCAUCAGCCGACCUGAAAUCCUUUGUUUUCUAUACAUUUGGCUCAUCCAGCCGAACCUAUUCUGUAAUAGAAGAUUCUGAACUCGGCUGAUCCGAUCCCUUAUCAGCCGAAUCGCUUGAUCCAGUCGAAGGGCGCAAACUUCGAGGGUCACUAAUCGUAGCCGUUUCGCAUCCCGACGCGCUUCCCGAGGAAGAUCUUUGACCGGGUCAAAGAAGAGGGAAUUCGACACCUAACACUAACUAAGAAAAAUAAAGUUGGAUUUCUUUGUUUUCCCCAUAAUUGGAGGGGUUCUGUUACAAUCUUACAUAAUGCAUUUUGCAAAACUUAGGAACCACGACCUCAUAUAUUAUUUGCAAUUAAUAGUCAAUCUAGGGAGCUCUGUGCUUUCAAACAAGAAAAGAAAGAAAGAAAGAAAAAAAAAAAAACAGAACUAAGUUUUUUUAUUAUUGCAUUACAAUUAGUUGAUACGUCCACAUGUAAAUCUAUUUGAUCAUAGGAAUCAAUCCUAAAAGUUCUUAUGCUUUCAAACAAAACAAUAUAAAUCAGAGAUUUCAAAAAUGGGAUUGAGUCCAGCUUAAAGCGAAAAAACAUCUAUCAUAGCCAAAAAACGUCAUGGAGAAACCAAAAUAAAGUUUCAAAUCCAUCAGUUUUUCCAUAAAAGAAUAUCCGGUCUUAAUUGUUAACCCAAAUUAGAACCUAUAGAAACAAAUAAUUUAAUUAGAUUGAUGAUAUAAAGAAAAAUAUAUAGAUGAACCAAUACAAAAUGAACAUAAUUUAAUAAAAAAUGUACCAACUGGAGCUUUACAAAGCUCUCACUACCAGACUGCUAACAAAAACUAAUAUAUAUAUAUGUAUACAAACCUAAAUUCUAAAAUAGGGAUUUUAAACCCAAAAUUAGAGGUAAUAGAAUAGGAACAAAUAGGAAACCCUCUCUAAUCCUUUAGCCUUUACCUUUACUACUAAUUGAUAGUUAACUUGGAGCAAAAAUAUUAAUGGAACAUAACCUUAUCAACUAAACCCUAAACCCUCCAACCAAAAAAAACAGAGAUGAGAGAGGGGGAAAAAAAAACUUUUAAAUUUGAAGUAUUGAAGUUUAAUUUUUCACUAACCCUAAUAAGUUGGGUUUUCACUAAGUUUCAAAAAGUUAUUUGGAAUAAAUAUACUAGGAGAAGAUAAAGACCAUAAAAAAGGAGAAAAAUCUAGAAGUUAUCUACCUGGUAGUAACUCGAGAGAAAUAGAGGUUGAGAAGAAGCAUAUGGAACCACAAGCUCCCCCAAAGGUUGCUUUAAUCGCUCGAAGACCUAAAUACAACACCUUGCUCCUUAGCCAUGUAUGGUCGCUUAGUUUCCUGCCCAAAUAUAACACACUACCUCUGAUGUUGAUGACUUGCUUCAAAUUGUAGGAUGAGGAAGGAGGGAGUGGUGGGAGAGGGGAGGGAAAAGAUGGCCAAGUUGAGGGAAUGGUGGGAGAGGGGAGGGAAAAGAUGGCCAGGUUCAGAAAAAAAACCUCAGGGGGAAGAGAAGGGGUAGGUGAAAAAAGUAGCGCGUAAUGAAAAAGAAGGCGCCUUUUUCUGUAGCAUCGCGCCUUUGGGCUUUUGCGACGGGCCAAAUCCAAAUUAAGACGACCAAAUAAUUUUUGGUCGGUACUCUGGCUCUUUUGGCCAACUGAAAGUUUAUUUAUAUUUUUUGCACUUUUAGUAACCACUUAAGGAGACUGGUCACCUAAAGUUGGUCACUAAAAAGCCUUUAUAUGUAAUUAGUAGGCUUUCCUACAGUUUGCUCCACGCAAGGGAAUAAAUUAAUUUUACCGCCAAAUUUGAAUGUUCUUCUACAUUCAACCUUUCAUCAUUUCUUGAAGGCGGAUUAUAUCUUGUCUCGAAACCUUCUAUGUAUCAAGAACAAAAAGUCAUGCAUUCAUCUACUAAGUAAGCUUCUGCAAAUAGCCCUCCGGACAAGGCCUGUUACGCUCAUAUGACUUUAAGGUCCCAAGGUACCUAAUAAAAAAAAAAAAGAUAAAAGAUAAUUUGAUUUGAUAAAUAAAUACUAACAUAAAAAAUUUAAAUGACUACUCUAUGUUUGGACAUACCAUUCAAUAGGAUACAUCCAUCGAUACUGAACUGGAUUGGCAAUCUUUGUCUUAGUAACCAAAUGGAUGACUAAAUGCACCAUAAUAGUAAAAAAAAAUUUACCGAUUGUCUCUAGAGUAAGUGGCAAACGGCUGAUUGGUACUCGAGGUCCCAGGUUUGAAUCCUAGUUGAUUCACAUUUCCAGCUAAGUUUAUUGCGCCUUAUUAGGGCACUCGCUACCAUUUAAAAGAGCAUGCCAGUCACAAACCUACUAAUAAACAAGAAUUGUUCAGCUUUCGUCGUUCAUCCUUGCGUUCUAAAGUUGAACGAGCAUUCGGCAUAUUGAAAAACUGUUUCAAGUUUUAACAUCCACUAAAAAAAUGUUGAUUUGUGGUGACACUUAUUUUAGUAACGCUUGACACAAGUGUUGACAAAAAUAUAUUUUAGCAGCGGUUUUAACUAAUUAUUAUAAUAGUUCAAUUCUAUACCGUUGGUUGUAGUAAUAUAAUGAUUGAGGGAUUUUUUGUUUCUUUUUAUUUUUCUUAUUUUUAAUUUUAACUUUUUAAAAUUUCCAAAGGAAUUGGGAAAACUAGAUGGAAAUGUAUUAUUGCUAAAAUGGAGCACAGCUUAUCUCAAAGCCGCAUUGGAUUGGGGCUUCAACGGUAAUAGAGGGUGAAAUUGGGCCCAAAAUUAUAGAUAUUUGGACCCAUAAGGGCCGUUUAUAUGAAUUAAUGUUUUGGAAUAAAUAGUUUACAUUGAUGUAAUUUACAGAAUUGAAAAUUCUAUAUAAAAGAAAGUCUUAAUUUUGUUUUUUUUAAAAAAAGCCUAUUUACAGGAACAUGUAAUAUAUAGAUUCUAGUAUUAGAAUAAAAAAAAAGUUAUAAAACUAGUGUGAAAGAGUUGGUUGUUAAAGAGUGAACUUAUAAGAUUACAACCAAUUUUUUAUUGUAGAGUUACCAUUACUUAAAAUUUUUCAUUCCAAUUAAAACCCAGCCCUAAAGAAAUUUUGAUCUCAACUAAGGGGGCGUUUGGAUUGACGAAUUUGUAGAUUCAACGUAAGUCAAGUGUAGUGGUGUUUGAGUUUCCCUGAAGUGUGAUUAUUUUUCUGUUGUUUGUUUUGACGUAACUCGUACCACUGAAAGUUAAAUUCAAUCACUUCUGCUGUUUGUUUUGAUGUAACUUGGUGCUGGUAAAAUUAGUUUUUUGAGUUCCGUUGUUUGUUUUGAUGUAAGUAAGUGGAUCACAUUAUCUCUUAAAUAUAGUAAUAAAUUUAUCACUAUAAAAAUUAACCUAUUAUAUAAUUAAUUUUUUUAUUAUUAUUUAAAGAUAAUCUUAAUUUAUUAUAAAUAAAAUAAUUCUAACCCAUUAUAAAGAAAGUAGAGUUUAGGUUUUACUGUUUAAUAAAUUAUUUAGAGAAGGUUGAGUGUGGUGGAAGUCGAGUUCGGUACUUUAGAGCCGGAAGUCGAGAGUAGGUGAAGUGGAGCUCUAACAUAACUUGAGUUACAUUACAUUUUUCACUUACACCAAAACAAAUAACGAAAGUGAUGGAACUUGAGUUCCAUCACUCCACUUACACCAAAACAAACAGGCCCUAAAAACCCAGCGCAAAAAGAAUUUUUGGAUCCCAAUAAAACCCAGCCCAAGUGAAAAGGAAAAAGGAAAAUAGAAUACGAUCAAAACCAAAACCCUCCUCCCAUCUCUCGCGCGCCGCGCCCCACCGUCCCCUCCCUCUCUUCACGAUCAAAUUCCUGUCCUCUCCCCCCCGAUACCGAUCCCCCUCAACACUCUCUCCGUCUCCGACACCGAUCUUCGUCUCCGACACCGCACCAACCCGCGGGACAACAGAGUUAGUAGUAAUCACUUGGUAGUAGUAAUGACUAUGUAGAGUUCGAUAUUUAACUUCACAUCAGUGUUUUUGAUGCAAUUUUUUCUUGAUUUUCUCUACUUUUUAUGUUUAUUAGGCUUUUCUUGAUUUUCUCUACUUUUUAUGUUUAUUAGGCUUCUAGUUGCUUGGAUUUGGUAUUACUCUCCUCGACCCCAGCUCAGAGAGAUCUAGGGUUGGGGGUUUCGAUUGCCCAAUGGAGGAGGUCAGCUCUCUUUGUGUUCGCUUUUUUUUUAAUCACUCUGGAGUUUGGAGUGGACGAAUUCGACGAGGUAAUUGGUGAAUCUUCUAUCUCAUCCUAUUGAUCCGUAAACUUCAAUUUAUGUGAAUUGGGUCAUGAACUUAGAGACUUCUUCGCUUGGUCUAUUCAUGCUUAAUUAGUUUGAUACGAUGCAUCCAACUUUCUAAUAAUUGUGUGAACAAAAAUAAAUAAGUUAUUUCUAAUUUCUUCCCAAUUCAGAUUGGAGUACUCAUUGCCUAAUCUGGUCAACAAAUCUUAUCAUUAUAAUUUUCUAUCAUAGAAAUGCAUUAGUUUCCUUCAAAACAACAUUAAACAAGGUUUAAGAAUCACCUAAGGGUAGCACAUUUUAUGUUCUCGCGAUCCCAUUAAACAACAUUUGAAAAUGCAGUUUCCCCUGGGAUUGCAAUUUGACAAUAAAUUUGAAUUAUUCUAUUCCCGUGAGUAGUCCACUGGGCUAUAAGGAUAUGUGGAAGACCUAUAUUCUCUAUUCAGAUGUUUGAAAAACCUCCAUAGCUAAUUUUGUUGGGAUCAUUUGAUAGCUUUCUUUAUGGCAAAUAGCAUAAGAUUUAAGCUGAAGCUUCUAAUUUGAAAGUCAUGCAAAACAUACAUAGAGGAAGAACAACAAGUUGGAGCUCAGAAACUUACAUACUAGUGGCCCACAAGAAAAAAGGUAGGAAAAAUGUGCUGAAAGUAGAAAAUCUAGACAAUAAAUAAACAAGGUUAUUUUUCAGGUUUUGCCCUAAAAAUUAGAACUAUGAAGGAGAUUAACCUACUGUUCUAUUGGUGGUUGUGGGGAAGUAAAGCUUAUUAUCGGUUAAAAAGUUCAUAUGGUGGGAAAUCCGCCCAAAUCAAAUCAGCCGAUUGUGGGAUGUUAUCUAUCACCAUUUAGUGCAUAUUGUGCUAGUAUAUUUUCUUUUUUUGGUGAUAGUGCAGGAACUUUUUGCCUCUUAAGUAUCAAACAUUAAAAUAAGCUUUGUUAUCUCAUAGAAAUUCCAUUUUUAUUUUUAUAUACACGCAUGCAGAUAACCGUUCUUAUUGGUACUUAUUAUUUUUCAACAUUGGGCACUACAACUAUAUAUAAAUUAUUCAUUCAGAUCCGAACUUCUCACAUGUGAAUUAAGUAGUUGCUGCCCAUAUGACACAUUUAAUACUCAUCCAAACAUAUAUUUUCAUAAAAUCUAAAAUGAUUUUAGUAAUAAAAACAAAAGACUUGAUAAGAUUAGAGGAAGACAAAUAGAUUUUGGAUGAAUGGAGUGGUAAUAUGUUUACCUAGUCUAAAACUUGAUAAGAAAAAUUCGAGUAGGUACCCAUUUACUUGAGAAGUUGUACGCGAUCACCUGAUUUGUAAUGGAAUUAGUCCUAAUUAUGAUAAUUGGUUCUUUUAUGGGGAACCCAUAUUUAGAGCCACAUCUAAUCCUACUAAUGAGAGUCGUAGUUUUCUGGUCCAUAAUGUGAAUGAUAGUAUACGUGGCAUGCUACAUGAAGCUUUUCAAAUGCAUAAUAAUCAACUUCAAGAUGACUUUCAAGAUGAUAGUGAUUUUCAAGACUCAUCUGGAAAAGGUUCUGAUUCACAGUAACCUAAAGGUGCUCCAAAUAAAGAUGCAAGCAAAUUUUAUAAGUUACAUAAAGAUGCUAAACAACUUUUGUAUAAUGGUUGUGAGAAGUAUAGCAAAUUGACAGCUAUUGUAGUUUUAUAUUAUGUAAAGUCCCUUCAUGGGUGGAGUAGUAAAUCUUUUAGUAUGCUCCUUGAAGUACUAAAAGAUAUGCUUCCUUCAGAUGCUAAGUUGCCAGAUGAUUGCUAUGUCGCGAAAAAAAUAUAUUAGGGACCUAGGCCUUGGAUACGAAAAGAUUCAUGCAUGUCCUAAUAAUUUUAUUCUAUUCUGGAAAGAGAAUGCAGAUUCUGAAAUUUGUCCAAAAUGUAGUACAUCAAGAUGGAAAACUAAUGACGUUAAUAUUAAUCUAGAUGUGGACGAAAAUUCCAUAAAAAAAAAAAAGCUAGCAAAAGUACUGCGAUGGUUCCCUUUAAAGCAAAGGCUUCAAAGAUUAUUCAUGUCCUCAAAAACUGCUUCUAUGAUACAAUGGAAUGCUGAAGGUCGGGCGAAUGAUGGGUUGAUAAGGCAUCCUGCUAAUUCAAUAGUAUGGAAAAAUUUUGAUAGGCGAUAUGCAGACUUCUCAUUAGAUUCUCGCAAUGUUAGCAACUGAUGGGUUCAAUCCUGUUCAAACUAUGAGCACUAAUUACAGUUGUUGGCCUGUCAUAUUGAUCCCAUACAACUUGCCACCAUGGGUAUGCAUGAAGAGGUCUUUGUUUAUUUUGUCAUUACUCAUUCCAGGCCCGAAUUCACCUUCUAUUAAUAUAGAUGUGUAUUUGCAACUUUUGAUCGAGGAGUUAGUACAAUUGUGGGAACUCGGCCUUGAUACAUACAACGCAUCUGUCGGAGAAAAUUUUUGUAUGCGUGUUGCAUUGUUAUGGACAAUUAAUGACUUUCCUGCAUAUGGUGACUUAUCUAGGUGGAGCACCAAGGGUCCUCUUUCUUGUCCUUCUUGUAAUUACGAUACUCGUUUUCGAUGGUUAAAAUACGGUGGCAAAUACUGCUUUAUGGGUCAUAGGCGAUUCUUACAAAAGAAUCAUAGAUUUCGAAAAACUAGGAUAUCAUUCGAUGGCACUCAAGAAAAUGGAGUUGGCACCUAAAAUAUUAUCCGGAGUAGAAAUUUUGGAGCACACUUAAUAAGUUGAAUGUAACUUUAGUAAGCAUAUUAAUAUAUGUCAAAAGAAAGGAAAAGAAAUGAAAAUAUAGAGUAUCAACCAUAGAAGAAAAGGAGUAUAUUUUUUAUGUCACCUUACUGGGAACACCAUAUGUUGCGUCACAAUCUUGAUGUGAUGCAUAUUGAAAAGAAUAUCUACGAUAAUAUUCUUGGCACAUUAUUGAAUUUUGAUGGCAAAUCAAAGGACAAUCUGAAGGCAUGCCUUGAUUUAAAAUAUAUAGGNCACCUUACUGGGAACACCAUAUGUUGCGUCACAAUCUUGAUGUGAUGCAUAUUGAAAAGAAUAUCUACGAUAAUAUUCUUGGCACAUUAUUGAAUUUUGAUGGCAAAUCAAAGGACAAUCUGAAGGCAUGCCUUGAUUUAAAAUAUAUAGGAUUAUGACUUGCUUCAUCCUCAAAGUGUUGGACUAAAUAAAAUUAUUUUACCACCAAAUUGCUUCACAAUGUCUCUAAAAUAAAAGGAUGAGUUUUUAAAAAUUUUGAAAAAUGUGAAAGUGCUGCAUGGCUAUGCAUCUAACCUAUCAUGUAUUCAGCUUAAGGAACGCAAAAUGAUAGGUUUAAAGAGUCAUGAUUGUCAUAUUUUAAUGCAACAACUUCGUCCGAUAGCAUUGCGUGGUGUUUUAUCGAAGAGAGUAGUUGCACAUCUAAUUGACUUGUGUUGUUUCUUUUGUGAGCUGUGUUCCAAAACUUUGGAUGUACGUGAACUUGAGCAAUCGGAAUCUCGAUUUGUGGAAACUCUAUGCCAUUUGGAAAUAAUCUUUACUCUGUUUUUUACCAUUAUUGUACAUUUGGUCGUCCGUUUAGUUACUGAAGCCAAAAUUGCAGGACCAGUACUAUCAUUGGAUGUAUCCUAUCUUUUAACUCUUCUAGUCUAUGUUAUCUUUUUGACCUGUAGGGCUCUCUUGCGGCUCAAGUUUGAGGUACGUAUAAGGCUCAUCCGGAGGAUUCAAUUGCAGAAAGCUACAUGGUAGAAGAAUGUAUGACGUUUUGGUCAUGGUUAUAAAAAGAUUCAUAUGGAGAAUUUUGUUAGCUGGUUUCAAUCAUAUGACCAAAACCGGUCAACAAAAUUCUCUAUAUGAAUCUUAUUUAUAACCAUAUCACUUGGGCGUGUUCCACGAUUCUACCUCUUUAUUGCAUUUUUAUGAAUACUAGACAAAAAGAAAUAAUGUUAAUAUCAAGCAAUUAAAACUAGUAGGUACAUAAUACUUAUAUGAUAUAGUUAUUGACCUGCAAAAAGGAAUUAUUUCAUUACUAUUGAACAGUACAUAUCGAUGAGCUUGCAGCCAUGACUUUUGAUCAAGAAGAAUAUUUAAGAUUGCUCCCAUUGAAUCAUCAAUAUUCCUAGCGGGCCUAUUGAAUGUUGUCUCGAUAGUUUCCUCAUACAUUCUUCUACCAUAUAGUCUUCUACAAUUGAACUCUCUGGAUGAGCCUUAUUACAUAUCUUAGACUUAAGCCGAAUGAGAGCCCUACAGGUCGAAAAGAUAACAUAGACUAGAAAAGUUAAAAGACAAUUAGGUUAAGUAAAAAGUAACAAGAUGACUAGGUCAAACCUAACCUCUCGAUAGGAUACAUCCAACGAUAGUAUUGACUUCAGUAGCUAAAUGGACGACCAAUGUACCAUAAUGGUGAAAAAUGAAGGAAGAAAGAUUGUUUCCAAAUGACAUAGAGUUUUCAUAAUUCGAGAUUCCAAUUGCUCAAGUUCACGUACAUCCAAAGUUUUGGAACACAACUCACGAAAGAAACAACACAAGUCGAUUAGAGGUGCAACUACUCUCUUCGGUAAAACCCCACGCAAUGCUAUUGGAAGAAGUUGUUGCAUUAAAACAUGACAAUCAUGACUCUUUAAACCCUAUCAUUUUACGUUCCUCAAGUUGAAUACAACAUGAUAGGUUAGAUGCGUAGCCAUCCGGCUCUUUCACAUUUUUCAAAAUUUUUAAAAACUCAUCCUUUUAUUUUAGAGACAUUAUGAAGCAACUUGGUGGUAAAAUAAUUUUAUUUAGUCUAACACUUUGAGGAUGAAGCUCAGGUCGUAAUCCCAUAUCUUUAAAUCAAGGUGUGCCUUCAGAUUGUCCUUUGAUUUGCCAUCAAAAUUCAAUAAUGUGCCAAGAACAUUAUCGCAUAUAUUCUUUUCAAUAUGCAUCACAUCGAGAUUGUGACGCAAUAUUUGGUGUUCCCAAUAAGGUAACAUAAAAAAUAUUCCCCUUUUCUUCCAUGGUUGAUAUUCUAUAUUUUCAUUUCUUUUCCUCUUUCCUUUUGACAUAUUAAUAUGCUUACCAAAGUUACAUUCAACGUAUUGUAUUGAGUGUGCUCCAAAAUUUCUGCUCCGAAUAAUAUUUUAGGUGCCUACUCCUUUUCUUGAGUGUCAUCGAAUGAUAUCCUAUCUUUUCGAAAUCUAUGAUUCUGUUGUAAGAAUCGCCUAUGGCCCAUGAAGCAGUAUUUGCCACCGUAUUUUGACCAUCAAGAGCGAGUAUCGUAAGUACAAGAAGGACAAGAUAGAGGACUCUUGGUGCUCCACCCAGAUAAGUCACCAUAUGUAGGAAAGUCAUUGAUUGUCCAUAACAAUAUAGCACGCAUACAAAAAUUCUAUUCGAUAGAUGCAUCAUAUGUAUCAAGGCCGAGCUCCCACAAUUGUACUAACUCCUCGAUCAAAGGUUGCAAAUACACAUCUAUAUUAAUAGAAGGUGAAUUCGAGCCUUGAAUGAGUAAUGACAAAAUAAACGAAAACCUCUUCAUGCAUAUCCAUGGUGGCAAGUUGGAUGGGAUCAAGAUGACAGGCCAACAACUGUGCUUAGUGCUCAUAGUUCGAAAAGGAUUGAACCCAUCAGUUGCUAAUCCGAGCCUAACAUUGCGAGGAUUUAACGAGAAGUUUGCAUAUCGCCUGUCAAAACUUUUCCAUGCCAAUGAAUCAGUAGGAUGCCUCAUCAACCCAUCAUUCGUUCGACCUUCAGCAUGCCAUUUUAUUAUAGAAGCAGUUUUUGAGGACAUGAAUAACCGUUGAAGCCUUUGCUUUAGAGGGAACCGCCGCAGUACUUUUGCUGGCUUUUUCUUUUUGAUGGACUUUUCUUCCACAUCUAGAUUAACAUUAACAUCAUUAGUUUUCCAUCUUGAUGUACUGCAUUUUGGACAAAUUUUAGUAUUUGCAUUCUCUUUCGAGAAUAAAAUACAAUUAUUAGGACAUGCAUGAAUCUUUUCAUAUCCAAGGCCUAGGUCCCUAAUAUAUUUUUUUACGAUAUAGCAAUCAUCUGGCAAGUUAGCAUCUGAAGGAAGCAUAUCUUUAGUACUUCAAGGAGCAUACUAAAAGAUUUAGAGGCAAUUGCCUAUAUACUCUUGAAAAGUUUCCGGUUUUCUUAUUUACCCCUCUUAGAAGGCUAAUAUUGAAAAUACCCUUCUUAUAUUCCAAGCGUUUCUAAUAUACCCCUGGAGUUAAUUUUCGUUAGUGAGCUGCCGUUAUCUCUAGAAAAUUACUAUUUUGCCCAUUCUAAUAUGCCCUUCUACCGUAACUAACUUUUCUUAUAUAUCCUUCAUAUAGCAAAUACUUUUCUUAUUUGCCCUUCAAAUAUUAAUUAAUUAAUUAAGCACGUCAGGAGCGAGCAGAUGAACGGAUGAGAUCGAUCGCAGCUAAACCAACCUUGGUGGCCGGAGGCAUAGUUAGUUAAUUCGGAUUCGGCAAAAAUUCGGUACGGAUAUAAUUCGGAUAAAAUUCGAUUUUUAAUUUUUAAAUUCGUUGAAAAAUACGGCUAAAAAACGGAUUCGAUAGUUAUUCGGAUACGUGAUUUAUACGGGUAUUAUACGUUCACCAAUUUAAAAUUCGGGAUCAAAUAUAAUUUUUAUAUAUAAUUUUUAAAAAUUCGGUAUUAUACUAUAUAUAUUAUUAUUAUAAUAUUUAUAUAUAGAUUAAAUAUAUUUAAAAUUAUGAUAAACAUAUACUAAUAAUAUAUAAGAGUUAUAUAUUUAAAAAUAUUAAUAAAUAAUUACAAAUUUAUAAAUAAAAUAUUAUAUAAUAAUAUUUCUAUAUAUAAAUAAAAUACUAUAUGAAUAUAUAUUUAUAAAUUAUAUAUAUAUAUAUAUAUACACACACACACACACACACACACUUAUAUAUAUAAUGAGAGGGAGGUCCACGGUGGACCUCCCUCUCAUCCGGUCCACGAGGCCAAAUUGGCCUCGUGGACCGCGCACACCCAAGGGCGAGGGCGUGCCGUUGCCGGGCGUCCGCGAGAGAGAGCGCGCCGCGCUCCGCCGUCCGCAAGGGCGUGGGCGUGGUGCGGUCGGGCGUAGUGGGGGAGGGGUGCUGGUUGCGGGCGACCUAGAGGUCCAUGAUCUUGCGGGCAGCGUCGGUGCUCUCGUGCAUGAGGCGGGCGACCUCGGCCUUGGGCAGGCCCAGGCGGAGCGUGCGGGCGUCGUCGGGGUGGGCGUGGGCGUGGGAGUUGAGGAGGGAGAGGUCGGAGGAGGAGGACGACAACGACGAUUCAACAAAUCCAUAGGCUCUCGGCGUCGACCAAGGCGGCGGAGGAGGAGGAGGACGACGAGAGCGGCGAGAGGGGUGGUGGUCUGGGAGGUGGUGGUGGUGGUCUGGGAGGAGAUGAGGCGAGGUGGAGGCGGAGGAGCCGGCGAGGUGGAGGCGGAGGAGCUGGCGAUCACGUUGGGAGAGAGAGGAUAACUUAAGGAAUUAACAUAAUAAGGUAGGGGUAAAAUAGGUAUUUUAUAUAGGUUUUAACUCUAGUAUACAUUUAACCCAUAUUUAACUCGAGUUAAGUUAAUAGGGGAUAACUGCGGGGGUAUUUUGGAAUAACGGUGGAACAUAUGAGGGGCAUUUUAGAAAGAAAAAAAAAAGUAGGGAUAGAUCGGAUAUUUCUAGACGCAUGAGGGGUAUAUAGGCAAUUAUCCCAAAGAUUUAUUGCUCCACCCAUGAAGAGACCUCAAAUGAUAUAAAACUACAAUAGCUGCCAAUUUGCUAUACUUCUUACAACCAUUGAACAAAGGUUGUUCGGCAUCUUUAAGUAACUUAAAAAUUUACUUGCAUCUUUAUUUGGAGCAUCUUUAGGUUGCUGUGAAUCAGAACCUUCCCCAGAAGAUGAGUCUUGAAAAUCACUAUCAUCUUGAAAGUCAUCUUGAAGUUGAUUAUUAUGCAUUUGAAAAGCUUCAUGUAACAUGCCACAUAUACUAUCAUUCACAUUAUGGACCUAAAAACUACGGCUCUCAUUAGUAGAAUUAGAUGUGCCUCUAGAUAUGGGUUCCCCAUAAAAGAACCAAUUAUCAUAAUUAGGACUAAUUCCAUUGCAAAUCUGGUGAUCGCAUACAACUUCUCGAGUCCAACUAUAGAAAUUUGUGCAUUUCAUACAAGGACAUGAAAUCCUCCUAUCCUCUGACCCAUUUUUAAAAGUAAAAUUCACAAAAUCAUUUGCUCCUUUAUAAUAUUCAUAUGUCCAUCUACUCUUUUUUAUCCAACUUUUAUCCAUUGCAGUACUUAUCAAGUUGUAAAAUCAACCUAUAAAAAAGAAAGCUCAUAAUUAUAAAAGAAAAUGUAGAUCAAGUAAAUAAUUGGUAAAAGUAAAUGGGUACCUACUCAAAUUUUUCUUAUCAAGUUUUAGACUAGGUAUACAUAUUAUACUCCAUUCAUCCAAAUAUCUAUUUUUCUCCCUCUAAUCUUAUCAAGUCUUUUGUUUUUAUUACUAAAAUCAUUUUAGAUUUUAUGAAAAACUAUGUUUGGAUGAGAAUUAUAUCUGUCAUAUGGGCAGCGACUACUUAAUUCACAUGUGAGAAGUUCGGAUAUGAAUGAAUAAUUUAUAUAAUUGUAGUGCCCAAUGUUGAAAAAUAAUAAGUACCAAUAAGAACGGUUAUAUGCGUGCGUGUAUAUAAAAAUAAAAGUAGAAUUUCUAUAAGAUAACAAAGCUUCUUUUAAUGUUUGAUACUUAGAGGCAAAAAGUUCCUGCACUAUCACCAAAAAAAGAAAAGAAAUAUACACUAGCACAAUAUGCACUAAAUGGUGAUAGAUAACAUCCCACAAUCGGUUGAUUUGAUUUGGGUGGAUUUCCCACCAUAUGAACUUUUUAACCGAUAAUAAGCUUUACUUCCCUACAACCACCAAUAUAAUAGUAGACUAAUCUCCUUCAUAGUUCUAAUUUUUAGGGCAAAACCUGAAAAAUAACCUUGUUUAUUUACUGUCUAAAUUUUUCCACUUUCAGCACAUUUUAUCUACUUUUUUCUUGUGGGCAACUAGUAUGUAAGUUUCUGAGGUGCAACUUGUUGUUCUUCCUCUAUGUAUGUUUUGCAUGACUUUCAAAUUAGAAGCUUCAGCUUAAAUCUUAUGCUAUUUGCCAUAAAGAAAGCUAUCAAAUGAUCACAAUAAAAUAAGCUAUGGAGGUUUUUCAAACAUCUGAAUAGAGAAUAUAGGUCUUCGACAUAUCCUUAUAGCCCCAAACCUAUUACUUGGCAUUGCCUAGAAUAGUGGACUCACUACAAAAAAGUCGAUUUGUGGCGACAGUUAUUUUAGUAACAUUUAACACAAGUGCUGCCAAAAAUAUAUUUUAGCAGCCGUUUUAAAUAAUUAUUAUAACAUUUCUAAACCGUCGGUAUAUAGUAGUAUAAUAACUGAAGGAUUUUUAUUUUAACUUUUUUUUAAUUUCCAAAGUGAUUUAGAAAGGCAGCUAGAAAUGUGUUAAUGCUAAUUGGGCCUAGCUUAUCUUGGGCUGCACUGAAUUUGGCUUCAACAUUAUUAGUGGGUUACAUUGUCCCCAAAAAAUUAUCGGAUUUACAUAUUUGAACUCCAUAAGAAUUGUUUAUAUUAAUUAAUGUUUUGGAGUCAAAAAAAUUAAACCAAUGUAAUUCAUAGAAUCUAAAAUUCUAUAUAUAAAGAAGUCUUAUGUAGUACACUGAACUGGCGCAAAUUGCGAAGUUCAAGUGUGGAAACGAUAAUUGGAACUACCUGACACCUUCUAAAGGGUUUAGAGAUGGUUGUGGACAAGUUUGGGAGUGAUUAGGCCACUGGAAGCGAGAAAGUGCAUUGCUACUACUAUUUCUGCAUCUUCUGCAUUGUUGUACCGGUACAACAUUGAGUCUGUACCGGUACAACAAGCAUCAGCAGCAGCAGCUGCGUGGCAGUGAGGAGAUUUUGGUAAUUUCACCUUUUAAGCUUAUCUUUAACCCUGAAUUUGACCCUUGCAGCUGUCUUGGAGGUGCUGGAGCCUGGAGAGGCAGGUUGGAAGGCUUCUCUUCUUCUCUCUCUAGGGUUUUUCUCUCUCUACAUUGGAAUCAAGGGUUUUGGUCUACUUUCUUCUCCUUCUUUGAUGCUGAUUGUUUUGGGAAGCCAGGGAGCUGUUGUAGAAGGGUGAAGAAGGUAUUUUGGGAAGGAUUUCGCAACUCCAUCACAGCAGGUAGCUGAGUGGAGACUUGCUAAGGUAACUAACUAACUAUUUGUUAGCUUAAUGCUUUAGUAGUAGAGUUGAAUAUGAUUUCGGGUUUCUUGUGCCCAGCUGGUGUGAGGGGAGUUCUAGUAGCCCUAGAAGCAGGAUUUGAUGUGGUUUUUGUAACCUGAAUCCAGAGGGAGAAUGAGAUUGGAACUUGGAAUGAGGUAAGUAGUGAAUUGAUUACCUUAUGUGAGGUUACAAUAAGCUUGUUAAUGAAGAAUGAAGUUGUUUUUGGGUACAUGUUGCUGCAGCUUGGAGGCUCCUGUUGUGCUGAAUAGCUUGACAUUGUGAACUAGGUUGAGGGGAUUUCAACUAGAAGGAAGCAGAGUUACAAGUAAGAAAUCUAUAUAAAUGAGAUUUGAGCCUCGAUUUUGUGGUUACCCAAGUGUACUAAUGCAGUUUUGGGUUUGGUUCACAGCAGGAAGUGCGCACCUUAUAAUUGAGAGUUAGGACUCUUUUGAGCUGGAUUAAGCUGAUUGUGGAGUACUUCAAUUCAGAUUGAAGUAAAGUUUUGGCGUAAGUCUCAACCUAGGUGAGACUUUAGUCUAUAUUAUGUGAAUAUGUGAGAUAUUGUUCUAAGUAUAUAAUUUCAGUCUCUAGCUGAUUUUCGAUUGGUUAAUUAGGGACUUGGAGACUUCAAUUUCCUGCAGCUGUGAGUUUGACAAGGGUCAUCUAUUAGUAGGUGGGUUUGGCCUUACCAGAGUAAGUGAAUCUCCUCUAUGUUCUAUAUGAUAUUAUAGAAUUAUUGGUAUGUGCAACUAUGUGAACAAGUACUAGAUACAGAAUAUUGGAUGCCAUAAAUACGCUAGUUUUAUUGAAUGGAAGGAAACCUCUAUAAAGUAGAGAUAAUUAUGAAUAAUUGUCUUAGCGUUCAGUUUAAUUGUAUAGAUAAGGGAUAGUCCUACUAUGCUUCUAAAAAGUAGAGAACAAGGACAUGCACUUGUGACAUGAAUAAUAAUGCAUUUAUGCUGUUAAGUUCCAAUGGCAUAUGUAAUUAGCAUCUCUUUUAUGGGUUAUUAAUCUAGUGGAUACUAGCAUUUUUUCAUCACAUUCAAAUUCCGACCCAUUGGUCGAGAGUGAGAACUUUACAUGUUAAAACAUGACGACUGAGAACUGUUGGACUAUGGAUCGUGCUUGCUUGCCAUUGUGCUCAUUCGCACAUGCUUGUGAGGGUCGCUCCCCACAAGCCGGCACUCUGGAGUUGGCCUACACGACAGAUUGCUCGUCCGUGCGGGAUUGGGUGCCGAAGUGGAUUGCCGUGGGGAGUGUAUACUAUUAUAGGGCCAUUAGGCGCGGCGCAAGCUAGACUACCUUGGGUAGGUCCUUAUGAAUUAAACUAAGUUACUAAAUGGUAGUAUUAAAGGAUCAGCACUACUUAGGGUACAGUUGCAUAUCUACAUGACAUGGUUAUGUUCCUAAUAUCGCUUUACUUGCUUCUAAUUGGUUGAUAUAGCUGACAGUAUGAUAUAUGUUCAUCAUUAAUUACAUUGAUAUACCUAUCAUGCAAUCAAUGUUUUUACAUUUCUAAUAGUACAUCAUGAGUCUAGUGGUGUAAUUCGCCGAGGCUGGCGGUUUACCCACUGAAAAUUAUUGUUUAAUAGUUCUCACGCCCUCUGUGUUGUUAUUUUUACAGAGCCUUCCACGACGGGAGAGGCUAGGGAUCGCGGCAAGGGAGUCGCGUCUAGCUAGGCAUAGCGUGGAGUCCUGCUAGGUGAUCACCUCGCUAUUUUGAUAUGCUGACGAGGAUGAAGUGUACCUUGUGUAGAGAGACUACCACUUAUGUUUUAUAUAGUUGUUGGGUGACCCUGUAGAGUACAUGAUUGUUUGGAGUGAUGUAAUUAUGGUUUUGGAUUUCUAUCUCGUGUAGAGAUUUGCAGGGUUUAUACUUUUCUCCUGAUAGUAGUAUUCUUGGUUUAUAUUUUGCUUUGAUAUCAUGUUAGAAUCUCUUGUUACUUUCCUAAUAAGAUUUUAUAGACGUCUUAUAUACUGCAGAUAUAUGACGGGUCUGUGCAUAAACCGGAUAUGCUUCUGCUGGUAUCCGGGCGUGACAUCUUACUUACCGACCGUCCAUAGAGCAAGUGGCAAAAGGUUUGGUGGUUGGUACCCGAGGUUCCAAAUUUGAAUCCUAGUUGAUUCAUAUUUUCAGCUAAGUUUAUUUUUAAACGAAAUAAGCGAAACUGGUAGCGUGCUACCUAUCUCUCUCUCAAAAAAAAAAAAGUUUUUCUUUUUAGAGAUUAAAAAAAAAAAAAUGUUACUUACACGAAUCUCUAAUAUAUAGAUUUUAGUAUGAAAAUAAAAAAAUUAUAAAACUAAUUUAAAGCGUUGAUCGUUAAAAGGUGAACUUAUAAGAUUGUAGUCAAUUUUUGAUUGGAGAGUUAGCAUUACUUCUUUUAAAAAAAUAAUCCACCCUCUUUGCGAUGAAACCCCCACCCCUCCUCGAUACCGAUCUCCCUCAACACUCUCUCCCUCUCCAACACCGAUCUCCCUCUUCGACACUGCACUAGUAAAUCGCUCGGUACUUGUAAUGGCUUGUAGAGUUCGAUGUUUAGCUUCAUAUCAGUGUUUUUUUUACUUGAUUUUCUCUGUUUUUUAUUUUUAUUAGGCUUCUAGUGACUCUGAUUUGGUAUUAUUUGCUCAGAUUUGGUAUUACUCGCCUCAACCCCAACUCAGAGAGAGAGGUCGGUUAUGUCUUGCUUGGAUUGGGGGUUUUGAUUGCCCAGUGGUGGAGGUGACCUCUCUUUGUGUGACCUGAGGCUAUCGGAUUCGCUUUUUUUAGCACUCGAUCGGGAGCUCGGAUUAAUCUGAAACUGGAAUUUGAGGUGAAAGACCUAGAGAUCUUACUUGAACUGUAGAAACAUGCAAUUUUGAAUUUGGUACCUGAACUGGAAAAUGCGGAAUUUAUUAUCUGAAUUUGGAAUUUUAAAUAUUUUGAUUCUACUAACUUACUUUUCAGAAUUUAAUGGAAUUGUAGAAUAUUUUGUUUGAUUAGGGAAUAUUUGACUAAUAAUGUUAUAAAUACAGUAAAGUUAGUUAGUAGAAUCAAAAAUUUUAUAGGCCUUGUCACUGUUUCGAUAAAUAGUGUACGAUAAGGUAGUAACAUAGUCCUCCUUUCACUAUGAAAAAACAUUAAGGAUACUGCCGCUUCUUGCUUAUGCAGUACACGAAGUGAUUGGGUGUAAUUCUUGGUCUAAGUAUUUUAUUAGUGGUGGUGAACUUCUUUUCUAUGGCAGAAAUUAUGCAUGCAAUUGAACAUUUGACCUGAUUUUGAUGUGAAAUGAGAGAAAUUUUACUCUUUUGACUUCGUCACUGUAGCAAAAGAUAGAAGUUGGAAAAGAGUUGUUCUUUCUUUCACCAGACAAAAAGACAUAGAUGUAUAGUUUUUAAAUGUUUGCCAAUGCAUUUAAUUGCAUAGAACUCGUGAUAAAACAAAAAAGGGAAAAAACUGUUGCAUAGCAAAACGAGGCCUACAAUCUUUUGAAUAAAGUUCAUCCUUAGCUGCAAAUAAGAUGCAUAUAUCAUAAUCAUGUCUAUGAUCACUGUCCCAAAUUUCCAUCAUUUAUUCAGUAUGGAGUAGUUUCCUGCUGCUCUUCAUUGUCUGGUUCUUUUGCUAAUUCAUUUUGUUAAAGAGCAAAGAACAUGCAUGUAAAAUUGUAGAUCUUACACGAAUAAAUAUGUAAAAAAGUUUUGCAAUGUUUUAUAUGUAAAUGCGUCUUUUUUCAUCAGCAUAUUUUGACGGCGUCGCUUGGAAUAAUGUAGUAUUGCGUAGACUCGUGUAAUCUUGUUUUUAAUCAGGAAAAUGAAGUCCAGGUUGAUGAAAUUAAUCACAUAUUGAAACUUUGUUUCUUUUUUUGUCCUUUUUUAUUCAGAAAUGCCAUGGCCUGCAAUGCCAGCACCCAGACUUUGGAAUCUCAGGUAUGUUAAGUGAUGAUAUCCUCAUCAUUUUGACCAUUAUUUAAUUUGAUCAAUUUCAAAUAAUAGAUUGGACAAGUGGGUGAGAAGAAUUGACUUUUUAUGAGCACUAUUUAGGUUAAUCUGUGAAACAGUUCUUAUUUGGUCAAGAAGGCGGAUGGGGGAUAAAUUGGUAGAAAGCGUUAAUGAAUCCAUUAAUCAGCUAAGCAGGAACUCGCCAUAACAUGGUUGAUUAUUGAGUUAGAAUUAGGCAUGUUUGUUGUAUUUUUGCAAAUAAAGUUUUCGUUGACAAAUUCUUUCCAUUCAUUUACUCUCCCAUCCUAACUUUCCUUACGCAGAUUGGCAAGUUUGAAGAAAAAUCAGAGAGAAGCACCUUUCAUAAGCAGUAUGUAGUAUUAACGAAUGAAAAAGUAGUUAGAGCUAGCGAAUUUGAAAGCAAUGGAGGUUUGCGACUAAAACUAAGACUUGUAGGCCUUAUUUGGACAUCAGAAUAUGUUAUCCAAUGAUUACUUAUUCAGUUUGAAGAUUUUGUCAUCCACGAUUUGGUAGGAAGUAAUAUUUCACCUACCAGCUAUGAGAUGAUUUGCCUUAUUCCGUAAAAAAUGAAUUAAGAAGAUACCAAAGUAGGGUCGGACUAACUAACCCCUUUGAGCACAGUUAGAUAUCCGCAGUUUUAUAAGAAAGGUUCGAUACCUAGCUAUGUCAAAUUGGUUUACAGUAAAGCAAUAAGACUUGUUCUUUACUGAAUUAGUGGUGUGAAUUAGUGGUCAUGUACCAAAUUUUACUAACAUUUCACUCUACAGUAUGCAAUAGUUUUCAUAUCUUAAUCGCAAUGCUACGGUGUUUGAUGCGCUGAAUUACUGGUAUUUGGCUGAUAUAUAUAUAUAUAUAUNCAUACCUAGCAGCUAAGCCUUCGAGAUAGUAGCUUUUGCUAAAUAUUCAUGCUCUCGCUAGCAUGAGUAUUAUCAUAUCAUCAGCCUGGGAUAUAUCCGACACCGAUGAUAUGAUAAUACUCAUAACCUCGAGAGCAUGAAGAUUCAACAAAAAAAACUACUUCGAAGGCUAAGAAAAUAGGUGAGGCAAUUUAUACUAGAUCUCAUAAACUAUGAAGAUCUUUAACAGUUUAAAGCACUGAAAAACUUUAGCAUUCCAUUUAAGACAGCUUGCUAAUAUUUUAAACGAAAGAUCUUUAAAAUUGACGACAGGUAUUGUAAAUUCCUACUACCUUAGCAAGCUAAGCCUUCGAGAUAGUAGCUUUUGCUAAAUACUCAUGCUCUCGCUAGCAUGAGUAUUAUCAUAUCAUCAGCCGUUAAAUGUUAUUUAUAGCAUUUAAAACUUCUAGAAAUCAAAUUUUAUAAUUUUUCGACAUCAUUUACCUUACGAUCAAGAGGUCACAAAUUUGACAAUUUUUAAUGGCCGGUAUGGGAUACUUGCUAUUUUAACGGUGUAAAAGAAUCGAAAUUUGUUGAAUUUUGAUACAAAAUUUUAUUCGCUAUCUAGAUAAAGAUCAAUAACUCUGAUCUUGAAUUGAAGGAUUCGAUCAUCCUUUUUUAGGACGUCGUUCGAUUUUGACUGUUUAUUUUAUGCUCGUUUGAUGGACUUUAUUAUGAUUUCGAAAAUUUACGAAAUUUAUUUUCUAGAAGUUUCAAAUACUCUAGAUCAUAUUUAACGGAGUGGAUCGUCGAUUUGGAAGCUUCAUCAUAAAAAACAAUUUAGAAGUACGAGAGCUCCAAUACUCAUAAUAGUAUAGUAGCCACGGCCUAUAUAGGGUCCGACUACUAUACUAUUAUGAGUACGAUCUGCCACAGCCCGCGACCACCCGCCUAUUUGGCUGAGGUCCCGGAGCCGCCGACAUCGCCGAAUGGACAGGGUUUCUCCUGUACUACGGACAGAGUCUCCCCUGUACAUUCAAGGCAUCGCAACCAAUACAAUUCACGAAGGUUCCAACCAGAAACAGAUAUCAAUCAAGAUUGCAAGUGGAAGGUAUCAUACAACAUAAACACAUCCUAAGUUAUUACAUUCAUUCACUUUCAUAGUUUUUAUAUUAUAGUUUCCAUUCUUUUUCAUCCAAAUGCAAUCUAAGUUAUUACAACAUUUACUUACUACAAGUUUGAUACAUUGUAUUCUUUUCAUUUCCUUUACCCCUAAGCUAUAUAGACGGGAUACUGCUAGCUCUGGUCUCUGGGGUAGGGCGCUAUCUGCAGAACUACGCCCUCGCCUUGCGCCGCCGCGCUGCACAUGUGUGUACCUGUACCCUCAAAACAGCAACACGGGGGUGAGACUAUUGUCCAUAGUCCUAAGUGGGUUUAGUCACCCAAGAGAACCAGCUCAACCAACAGGUCUAACGAGGCACUGCAACAUGUUAGUUCAACAAUAUACAACAGAUAUAUAUUCAAUUGAAAUACAUGUCAUGCCUCACGAAAUGCAAGAUGCAAUACCUGUAAUCAUGUAAGUAGGGUACUUUAACGCUACUUAUAUUCUUAAUCAUUCUUUACCCUUGUCAUUUAAUGUUUACUUUUAGCUCUUAGCUAUUCUUUACUUGUAACCUUUCUUUACUUUAUCAGCUAUUCUUAUUCCUUAGCCGAUCUUUAUUCUUUACUUAUUCUUUAUUCUUUACUUAUUCUUUAUUCUUUAUACUUUGUUGCACUUUUCCACUGGCCAUUCUUUCCAAAGGUUUCUCUUACCUUAGUUCUCUAUGCCAUUCGAUUCGGUCUUAAGUCAAUCAAUCGCGGAUAGUCCGCGCACUGUCUAGCUCGAGGUGAAGGAACUCACAUGCACCUCAGCUGGCAACAGCUCACCGUACUCCUGUCCUAGUCGUCUGGCGGCGAACGAAUCGCACCUCACCCAACAACGGCCUAGGUCCAUGACUUAGCCACCCGGCGGCGAAAUCGUCGCACAAACGCCAUGACAGUGGUUCAGUCAACAGGCGGUAGGAUUCACAAACUGGCUAACCAUCCGGCGGCGAAAUCGUCGCACACACCAUGACAGAGGUUCUUUAGCCCUUGGGCGGCGAAAUCGUCGCACACACCCAACACCACUUUGGGUGUAUCCUUUUAGCCUUGGGAUUCCGGAAUCCAUUUCACAUCACAUAGGGGUUGGUCUUAACCCUAUGGAACUGACCUCUCUAGGUCUAAGCUUUUACUCAACCUAAGUUCACCCAUUAGGUUUAUUGCUUUCACCUUCUUAACCUAGGUUUAUUAUAUUAGGAUCAUUAUUCUUUCCAACCUAGGUUCACUUGACUCUAGGUUAAGUACUUUUCAUUUCACGACCUAUAUUUAUUAACACUAGGUUGGAUGCCACUCGAUCUAUUUGAUUUUAGAUCUACUCCUGACCUAUGUUCCUUAACACUAAGUUAGAUGCCACUCGAUCUAAUUCACAUACUAAUUGUCCAAUUAAGCAUUCUACUUAUUCUAGAGUUAUCAAUUCUCAUUUUCCAAUGUUAUCUCUCUAAUCAAGCUAGAGUUAUCAACCAAGUUCAUAUGCAUAUAUAAUCUCACAAUGCUAAGCAUGCAUCUAUGAUCUCACAAUGCUAAUCACGCGUUUAUAAUCUCAUAUAUCAUUUAUAUGCAUCUACUUAGCAUUUACAUCAUUCUAUAAACAUGCAUCAUAUAACUUGCUCAUUAUGCAUUCUAGCAUUUCUACAUUACAUUAUUUAGCAUUAUAUAACUUGCUCAUAAUGCAUUCUAUUUAGCAUUUACAUCAUACUAUCAACAUGCAUUAUUUAGCUACAUGCAUCAUUUACAUGCUUCAUUUACAUUUAUAUGCAUCAACAUGGAUUCUUAGUUUCUUAGACAUAAAGGCGAGCCUAGUCACUUUGGUAAACACAACCCACCUUAAUUCGCGUUCCGAUUGCUUGUCGACACUUGCAAUCGGCCUCCCGCGGACCCGUAUCCGGCACGGCCCGAUACUGCAACUGCGCCUCAACCGUGCUCCGCUUCGCAGUCCCGAAAAUUAUAGGUCUUCGGUUAUGUGCCACGAUGCCUCAAAUCCAUUUCCAUGAUUUUACGACGUCGCCUCGGCCUUCCGGCGGACCCGAAGCCUAAACGUCUAUUUCUUUAAUAACUUUGUAACGGCUCGUCGGAUUGCCGAACCGUCUUCGCCAACGCGUUUCGUUCCUAGCAAUUAGGUUUACGAAGGGUCAAAUGAGAUCAAACCCUCAUAUUUUGAAAGUUUGCAUUUUGGAGCCCUAGGUUACAACUAUGCAAGAAAAUCACUAAAUUGAUUCAUGAUUCAAGCUUAAUAUCUAGAUAGCAUGCUAGACUCCUCUAAAUCCAUUUAUAAGGUAUUUAAACCAAGCAUUAAAGAUCUACCAUUAGAGGGCUCAAGAAGCUCACCUCAAAAUGAGCUCAAAACCAUGGAGAAGAUGAAGAAGACGAAGCGAUCCACCUCCAAGCUUCAAUCUCACCAAAUCCAUCUUUUGGGAGAGAUUUAGAGAGAGAAGAGAGGCUUCUCUCUUCCCUUCCAUGCGUGUGUGUGUGUGUGUGUGUGCGCGGUUUGGGCUGCUACGGCUGGGAGGAAGAAGAAGCAAAAGGGAUUUAAUCCCAUUUUACCAUUUUGCCCCUAAACUACACACUAUUCACUACGGGUAGCUCAAAUCUGAUAAAUUUGGUUGGACCCUUCCGGAUGUCCGUUUUCGCUCAAAUUUGACAGACAGGCUCAAUUUAACGUACCGAACAAGAAUAUAUUAAGUUUCAGUUUCGACUCCGUUUGGUUACCGAAAACUAUGCCGACUGCAAUCUUUAUCAGAUAGCUUUCGGAUUUUAUUUCUCACUCUACGGGUGUCAGAAAAAUAUGAAACUUUAAAUCUAGCCUCAUAAAAAUAUUUCUGACAUCCCCGCCUAAUUUUCAUAAUUUUCUGAGACUGUACAUUUUCUGCUAAUUUAUCAGUCCCUUUUCCAACAGAAAAUUCUAAAUCUUCUGUUUUCGCUCCGAUUUCAGCACAGGUCGUUCCAACCGAUAUUUCACUUCUCUAAAUCCAAUAAAAUAGUAUCUCAUACUAUUUUUAUUUAUUUUUCUCUUUUAUAUUUAAAAUUCGGUAUGUUACACGAUCGCUCUCGCUACUCAUAAAUCGUUUUUGAUGAUAGAGCUUCUGAAUCGAUGAUCCAUACCGUUAAAUGUAUUUACAGCAUUUAAAACUUCUAGAAAUUAAAUUUUAUAAUUUUUCGACAUCAUUUACCUUACGAUCAAGAGGUCACAAAUUUGACAAUUUUUAGGCCGUAUGGGAUACUUGCUUUUACGUGUAAAAAAUCGGAAUUUUUGAAUUUUGAUAGAAAAUUUUUAUUCGCCACAUAGAUAAGAUCAAUAACUCUGAUCUUGAAUUGAAGGAUUUGAUCAUCUUUUUUAGGAUGUCGUUCGAUUGACCGUUUAUUUUAUGCCCGCUUGAUGGACUUUAUAUGAUUUCGAAAAUUUACGAAAUUUAUUUUCUAGAAGUUUCAAAUACUCUAGAUCAUAUUUAACGAAGUGAAUCGUCGAUUUGGAAACUCCAUCAUCGAAAACAACUUAGGAGUACGAGGCUCCAAUACUCAUAAUCUCAUAAUAGUAUAGUAGCCACAAGAAUUAUAUACAUUAUAUAUAUAUAUAUAUAUAUAUACUACUUAUAAAAGCGUGAGUUUUGAAUUUUUUCCUUUCCAAAAAUGCAUCUAUUAUUUUUACCAAUAUUGUCAUGUCCAGUAAUUUUCAACUAUCGAUUUUAAAUAAAUCUUUAAAUAAUAAUUUAUUCUCAAAUAUAGAUUUUAAGUUUUCACCAUUAGAUCUCAUCCAAUGAAUAAAAAUAAAAAUAUCUGUCAUUUUUGUUGACAAAAAUACUCUCCAUAUUCGUUAUCUCCUAUGUAUGCAGCGUUUCUUAAAUAUUCUUUUUCUACCCACCAAUCAUUUAAUACGUAAAACUAAAUUUAUCUCUUAUCUAACGUAAUACUCGUCAAUCACGUAACAGCUAAUCACGUAAUACGUAAAAUUAAAUUUAUUUCCUAUUCACGUAUUUUUUUCAAAUAUUUUUUUCUUAUCAAACAUAAUACCUAUCAACACAUAGUAUUCAAAAUUAAAUUUUAAAUUUGUAAUGCCCGCCAAAAUUUAAUACUCGCCAAUUUGAUAAUUUGUAUUUUAAUUUAUGAUAGUAGAUUUUUUCUUACAUAAGAUAGUAGAUUUAAUUUUGACGAGUAUUAAAAUUUGAUGUGCCAUAGAAAAGUUAAAUAUUGUUAAAAAAAUUUUAAUACCCCUAAAUCAAAACUAAAUCAUUAAUAAAAUAUAAUUUUAAAUAUUUUUAGCAAAAUAUUUAAUAUUUAAAUAUUGCAUCAUAAAAGAGUAGAAUAUUUCUAAAAAAAAUAAUACACGCCCAAUAAAAACUAAAUCGUUAAUUAAAUAUAAUUUUAAAUUUUUUAGCAAAAUAUUUAAUAUUUAAAUAGUACACACUAAAAUAUUCUCGGUGUUCUCAAAUAUAAAAUAUAUUUUAUCCAUUUUAAAUAAAUCAUUCUCAAAUAUAGAUCUUAAGUUUUCGGCAUUGGAUUUCAUUCAAUGAAUAAAAAUAAAAGUAUAUGUCAUUCAUAUCCGUUAUCUCCUAUCUACGCGUUUUUCAAAUAAAACUAAAUUUAUAUCUUAUUUAACGUAAUACCCGCCAAUCACGUAAUACCUCCGCUAAUUACGUAACAAAUUAAAUUUAUUUCCUAUCCAAGUAUUUUUUCAAAUAAUUUUUUUUUUCAAACGUAAUACCUACCAGUAUUCAAAAUUAAAUUUUAAAUUUGUAAUUCCCGCCAAAAUUUAAUACCCGCGAAUUUGAUAAUUUAAAUUUUAAUUCAUGAUAUUAGAUUUUUCCUUAUAUAAGAUAGUAAAUUUAAUUUUGACGAGUAUUAAAAUUUGGCGUGCCAUAGAAGCGUUAAAUAUUGCUAAAAAUAUUUUAAUAUCCCAAAUCAAAACUAAAUCGUUAUAAAUAUAAUUUUAAAUAUUUUUAGCAAAAUAUUUAAUAUUUAAAUAAUGGUCAUAAAAGUGUAGAAUAUUUGUAAAAAAAUUAAUACCUAUCCAAUCAAAACUAAAUCGAUAAUUAAAUAUAAUUUUAAAUUUUUUUAGUAAAAUAUUCAAUGUUUAAAUAAUAUCCACCAAAAUAUUCUCCGCAUUUUCAAAUAUAGAAUAUAUCUUAAUACCCUCGCAUAUAAUAUCUACACUACCCAAUCUUAUCUUAUCAUAAUAUUUAUUACACAAUAUAUACAUCAUAUCAUAUUUUUUUUGUAUUUUUUAUUUUCAGCUAUACGUUUCUUAUAUAUAAAGUAUAUAUUUUUUUAAUAGUAUCCAUUUUUAUUUUUAUCUAUAUUUUUCUUAAAUAUUUUUUUAGUAAUAUCUUUUCUCAUUUGUUACAGUCAUCGUCCUACUCAUCAUUGUUUGUGCCGGUAUAUUGUCGCGUUCGCCACCUUCGUCAUAAUUAAAGAGGUAUUUUAAUUCCAUUUGAAAUUUUUUCUUUUUUUUAAUAUGCCUUUAUACUAUUUUAGUUUUUUUUUUUCGUUUUUUCUUAUUUUCAUAUAUACUUUUCUCAAAUAUAAAAUAUAUUUUUUUAGUAAUAUAUAUUUUUAUUUUUAUCUAUAUAUUUUUUAAAUAUUUUUAAAUUUUUUUGUAAUAUACUUUCUCAUUUGUCCCCAUUGUCAACACUGGUACAUCGUCAUCAUCAUCACCAACGCCGACACAUUAUCGCCUUCGCCACCUUCACCGCCUUCGCACAAUUGAAGAGGUAUUUUGAUCCUAUCUGAAAAUUUCUCUUUUUUUAAUAUGCCUUUAUACUGUUUUAGUAUUUUCUUUACAUUUUUUUUAUUUUUACUAUUAUUUUUCUUAAAUAUUCUCAAAUAUUUUUUUAAUAAUAUUCUUUUUUAUUUAUCUCCGUCAUCAACGCCGGUAUAUCAUCACGUCACUGGCGUCGGUACAUUAUCGCCUUUGCCAUAGUUAGAGAGAUAUUUUGAUUUCAUCUGAAUUUUUUUUUUCUAAUGUGCCUUUAUAUUGUUUUAGCAUAUUUUUUUUAGUAUUUUCUCAUUUUUACCUAUAUGUUUUUCAAAUAUAAAACAUAUAUUUAUUUAGUAAUAUUCUUUUUUAUUUUUACCUAUAUUUUUCUCAAAUAUUCUCAAAUAUUUUUUUAGUAAUAUUAUUUUUCAUUUGUCCUCAUUGUCGGUACCAGCACAUCGUCAUCAUCUUCCUUAUCGUUAUAGUCGUCAUCGGCGCUGACACAUUGUCGCCUUCGCCACCUUCUAUACUACUACUAAUUUCUAUACUAUUUCAGUUUUCUUAGAUGUUGUAGGAAUGGUUGUUCAAAUCAAUCACUUUUUCUUUCUAUGGUUGUUAAUCCUUCUAAACGUGAAGGUAAAGUGUUUCUCUGUUCAUCAUUUCACAUGAACAAAUUAUUAAUAACUAAUUAUUUGGAUGGAUUAAAGUAUGAAUCGAAUUAGAUUGAUCAUCUAGGACAAGAUAGUGCUAACAUACAUUGGCAUGAAAAAAUUAUUAAUAACUAAUUAUUUGGAUGGAUUAAAGUAUGAAUCGAAUUAGAUUGAUCAUCUAGGACAAGAUAGUGCUAACAUACAUUGGCAUGAAAAAAUUAUUAAUAACUAAUUAUUUGGAUGGAUUGAAGUAUGAAUCGAAUUAAAUUGAUCCUCUAGGACAAGAUUGUGGUAACACACAUUGGCAUGUAGAGAGACGUUAUUGCAAACAAUUCAAUUGUUGUAUUAAAACAGUUCACGUUAAUAUCGAUAAUUAGAAUAAAUGUACUUUUUAAUAUUUUAUUUUUUCUGUAGUAUUUUAAAUUUAUUUAUCAGGAUCAAUUUAUUUAGCAAAGUUUUGCGAGUAAAAUUGUGCUUAAUCCACCUAUUCCAAAAACUCAAGAAAUAAAAUUAAGGUAAAAAUUUUUAUUUACUUAUAUGAAUUCUUAUUAAAUUUAUAUUUUUUAUUAAUUUUAUCUAUUCCGAUGAUUUACUAAUAUUUACUUAUUAUUUUUCUUACUUUCAGUGCAAUUUUGUACGGAAGGGAGACUGAUGGUGCCAUUUUCACAAAUUUUGUGUUUUUUUUUCAAUGAUACCAUGAUAGAUUUUGUAUUCUUUCUUUGAUGAUAUUGUAAUUCUAUUUCUUUUUUCUGAUAUUUUAUUUUGGUAAUGAUUAAAUAUUAUAUAUCGAAUCUAUAAUAUUUAUUUAUAAAAAUUUUAUUUUUUAGUAUUUGUGCGACGUGUAUUGCACGUGCACUUAGCUAGUAUAUAUAUAUAGUUGAGCUAGAAUGCUAUCGAUAGCAAACGAGCUCUGUUGCCACCCAUUUGUUUUCGAUGAUAGAGUUUUCAAAUCGACAAUUGGCACCGUUGAAUAUGAUCUAUACCACUUUAAGUGUUUAGAAAUCAAAUUUCAAAUCUAUAUACCGGCGGUUUAGAACUGUUAUAAUAAUUAGUUAAAACCAUCGCUAAAAUAUAUUUUUGUCAACGCGUGUUAAAUAUUACUAAAAUAAGUGUCGCCACAAAUCAACUUUUACUACAACAGAAUUAAGUUAUAGGGAGACAUUUUUGUGUAAGUGUUCUAUUUAUGCCAAAUUUUUUUAAAAAAAUCUAUUAAGGCCUAAAUAUAAAGCCCAAUACAACUAAAAAUAAAAAUUUCUCUUCUCAACCAACCCCAUCCUGCUAGAGAUGUCAACGGGUCGGAUUUGGGGCGGAUUUUUAAAAACCCGAACUCGAACCCGAACCCGAACUCGACGGAUUUUAAAAAUUCAUAUCCAAAUCCGAACCCGACCAAAAAUUCGAAAUCCGAAACCUGAAUCCGAACCCGAAUUCGAAAAUUUGAACCCGGAACAAUUAUUAUUUUUUCAAUAUUUCAAAAUAUAUUAUAUUAAAUCUAAAUUUUUAAAAUACAAAUUCAAAUAUAACAUCAAAAAUAUAUAUAUAUAUAUAUAUAUAUAUAUAUAUAUAUAUAUAUAUAUAUAUAUAUAUAUAUAUAUAUAUAUAUAUAUUAUAAAAAUAUAAUAGUAUAUAUAUAUAUAUAUAUAUAUAUAUAUAUAUAUAUAUAUAUUUUGAUGUUAUAUUUGAAUUUGUAUUUUAAAAUUUAGAUUUAAUAUAAAUAUUUUGAAAUAUUGAAAAAAUAAUAAUUGUUCCGGGUUCAAAUUUUCGAAUUCGGGUUCGGAUUCAGGUUUCGGAUUUCGAAUUUUGGUCGGGUUCGGAUUUGGAUAUGAAUUUUUAAAAUCCGUCGAGUUCGGGUUCGGUUCGAGUUCGGGUUUUUAAAAAUCCGCCCCAAAUCCGACCCGUUGACAUCUCUAGCAGGAUGGGUUGGUUGAGAAGAGAAUUUUUAUUUUUAGUUGUAUUGGGCUUUAUAUUUAGGCCUUAAUAGAUUUUUUUAAAAAUUUGCAUAAAUAGAACACUUACACAAAAAUGUCUCCCUAUAACUUAAUCUCGUUGUAGUAAAGUUGAUUUGUGGCGACACUUAUUUUAGUAAUAUUUAACACGCGUUGACAAAAAUAUAUUUUAGCGAUGGUUUUAACUAUUAUUAUAAACAGUUCUAAACCGCCGAUAUAGAUUUGAAAUUUGAUUUCUAAACACUAAAGUGGUAUAGAUCAUAUUCAACGGUGCCAAUUGUCGAUUUGAAAACUCUAUCAUCGAAAACAAAUGGUGGCAACAGAGCUCGUUUGUAUCGAUAGCAUUCUAGCUCAACUAUAUAUAUAUAACUAGCUAAGUGCCGUGCAAUACACGUCGCACAAAUACUAAAAAAUAAAAUUUUUAUAAAUAAAUAUUAUAGAUUCGAUAUAUAUAUUUAAUCAUUACCAAAAUAAUAUCAGAAAAAAGAAAUAGAAUUACAAUAUCAUCAAAGAAAGAAUUACAAAAUCUAUCAUGGUAUCAUUGAAAAAAAAACACAAAUUUGUGAAAAAUGGCACAUCAGCGUCUCCCUUCCGUACAAAAUUGCACUGAAAGUAAGAAAAUAAUAAGUAAAUAUUAGUAAAUCAUCGAAUAGAUAAAAUUAAUAAAAAAUAUAAUUUUAAUAAGAAUUCAUAUAAGUAAAUAAAAAUUUUUACCUUAUUUUAUUUCUUCUUGAGUUUUUGGAAUAGAUGGAUUAAGCACAAUUUUACUCGCAAAACUUUGCUAAAUAAAUUGAUCCUGAUAAAUAAAUUUAAAAUACUACAGAAAAAUAAAAUAUUAAAAAGUACAUUUAUUCUAAUUAUCGAUAUUAACGUGAACUGUUUUAAUACAACAAUUGAAUUGUUUGCAAUAACGUCUCUCUACAUGCCAAUGUGUGUUACCACAAUCUUGUCCUAGAGGAUCAAUUUAAUUCGAUUCAUACUUCAAUCCAUCCAAAUAAUUAUUUAUUAAUAAUUUUCAUGCCAAUGUAUGUUAGCACUAUCUUGUCCUAGAUGAUCCAAUCUAAUUCGAUCAUACUUUAAUCCAUCCAAAUAAUUAGUUAUUAAUAAUUUGUUCAUGUGAAAUGAUAACAGAGAACACUUUACCUCACGUUUAGAAGGAUUAACAACCAUAGAAAGAAAAAGUGAUUGAUUUGAACAACCAUUUCUACAACAUCUAAGAAAACUGAAUAUAGUAUAGAAAUUAGUAGUAGUAUAGAAGUGUGCGAAGGCGACAAUGUGUCAGCGGCCGAUGACGACUAUAGACGAUAAGGAAGAUGAUGACGAUGUGCUGGUACCGACAAUGAGAACAAUGAAAAAUAAUAUUACUAAAAAAUAUUUGAGAAUAUUUGAGAAAAAUAUAGGUAAAAAUAAAAAAGAAUAUUACUAAAUAAAUAUAUGUUUAUAUUUGAAAAACAUAUAGUAAAAAUGAGAAAAUAACAAAAAAUUGCUAAAACAAUAUAAAGCACAUUAGAAAAAAAAAUUCAGAUGAAAUCAAAAUAUCUCUCUAACUAUGGCAAAGGCGAUAAUGUACCGACGCCAGUGACGUGAUGAAUAUACCGGCGUUGAUGACGGAGAUAAAUAAAAAAGAAUAUUAUUAAAAAAUAUUGAGAAUAUUUAAGAAAAAUAAUAGUAAAAUAAAAAAAAUGUAAAGAAAAUACUAAAACAGUAUAAAGGCAUAUUAAAAAAAGAGAAAUUUUCAGAUAGGAUCAAAAUACCUCUUCAAUUGUGCGAAGGCGGUGAAGGUGGCGAGGCGAUAAUGUGUCGGCGUUGGUGAUGAUGAUGACGAUGUACCAGUGUUGACAAUGGGGACAAUGAGAAAGUAUAUUACAAAAAAUUUAAAAAUAUUUAAAAAAUAUAUAGAUAAAAAUAAAAUAUAUAUUACUAAAAAUAUAUUUAUAUUUGAGAAAAGUAUAUAUGAAAAUAAGAAAAACGAAAAAAAAACUAAAAUAGUAUAAAGGCAUAUAAAAAAAAGAAAAAAUUUCAAAUGGAAUUAAAUACCUCUUUAAUUAUGACGAAGGUGGCGAACGCGACAAUAUACCGGCACAACAAGAUGAGUAGAACGAUGACUGUAACAAAUGAGAAAAGAUAUUACUAAAAAAAUAUUUAAGAAAAAUAUAGAUAAAAAUAAAAAUGGAUACUAUUAAAAAAUAUAUACUUUAUAUAUAAGAAACGUAUAGCUGAAAAUAAAAAUACAAAAAAUAUGAUAUGAUGUAUAUAUUGUGUAAUAAAUAUUAUGAUAGAUAAGAUUGGUUAGUGUAGAUAUUAUAUGCGAGGUGUAUUAAGAUAUAUUCUAUAUUUGAAAAUGCGGAGAAUAUUUGGUGAAUAUUAUUUAAACAUUGAAUAUUUUACUAAAAAAUUUAAAAUUAUAUUUAAUUAUCGAUUUAGUUUUGAUUGGAUAGGUAUUAAUUUUUUUACAAAUAUUCUACACUUUUAUGACCAUUAUUAAAUAUUAAUAUAUUUUGCUAAAAAUAUUUAAAAUAUAUUUAUAACGAUUUAGUUUUGAUUUGGGAUAUUAAAAUAUUUUUAGCAAUAUUUAACGCUUCUAUGGCACGCCAAAUUUUAAUACUCGUCAAAAUUAAAUUUACUAUCUUAUAUAAGGAAAAAUCUAAUAUCAUGAAUUAAAAUUUUAAAUUAUCCAAUUCGCGGGUAUUAAUUUUGCGGGAAUUACAAAUUUAAAAUUUAAUUUGAAUACUGGUAGGUAUUACGUUUGAAAAAAAAUUAUUUGAAAAAAUCUUGGAUAGGAAAUAAAUUUAAUUUGUUACGUAAUUAGCGGAGGUAUUACGUGAUUGCGGGUAUUACGUUAAAUAAGAUAUAAAUUUAGUUUUAUUUGAAAAACGCGUAGAUAGGAGAUAACGGAUAUGAAUGACAUAUACUUUUAUUUUUAUUCAUUGAAUGAAAUCCAAUGCGAAAACUUAAGAUCUAUAUUUGAGAAUGAUUAUUUAAAAUGGAUAAAUAUAUUUUAUAUUUGAGAACCCGAAUAUUUAGUGUGUAUAUUUAAAUAUUAAAUAUUUUGCUAAAAAAUUUAAAAUUAUAUUUAAUUAACGAUUUUUUUUAUGGGCGUGUAUUAUUUUUUUUAGAAAUAUUCUACUCUUUUAUGAUGCAAUAUAUUAAAUAUUAAAUAUUUUGGCUAAAAAUAUUUAAAAUUAUAUUUAUUAAUGAUUUAGUUUUGAUUUAGGGGUAUUAAAAUUUUUUUAACAAUAUUUAACUUUUCUAUGGCACAUCAAAUUUUAAUACUCGUCAAAUUAAAUCUACUAUCUUAUGUAAAGAAAAAAUCUACUAUCAAUAAAUUAAAAUACAAUUAUCAAAUUGGCGAGUAUUAAAUUUGCGGGCAUUAAAAAUUUAAAAUUUAAUUUUGAAUACUAUUGUUGAUAGGUAUUAUUUGAUAAGAAAAAAUAUUUGAAAAAAAUACGUGAAUAGAAAUAAAUUUAAUUUUACGUAUUACGUGAUUAGCGUUUACGUGAUUGAACAGUAUUACGUUAGAUAAGAGAUAAAUUUAGUUUUACGUAUAAAUGAUUGGUGGGUAGAAAAAGAAUAUUUAAAGAACGCCUGCAUACAUAGGAGAUAACGAAUAUGGAGAGUAUUUUUGUCAACAAAAUGACAGAUAUUUUUAUUUUUAUUCAUUGGAUGAGAUCUAAUGGUGAAAACUUAAAAUCUAUAUUUGAGAAUAAAUUAUUAUUUAAAGAUUUAUUUAAAAUCGAUAGUUAAAAUUACUGGACAUGAAAUAUUGGUAAAAAUAAUAGAUGCAUUUUUGGAAAGGAAAAAAUUCAAAACUCACGCUUUUAUAAGUAGUAUAUAUUAUAUAUAUAUAUAUAUAUAUAUUAUAUAUAUAUGCUGUGGCUACUAUACUAUUAUGAGAUUAUGAGUAUUGGAGCCUCGUACUCCUAAGUUGUUUUCGAUGAUGGAGUUUCCAAAUCGACGAUUCACUUCGUUAAAUAUGAUCUAGAGUAUUUGAAACUUCUAGAAAAUAAAUUUCGUAAAUUUUCGAAAUCAUAUAAAGUCCAUCAAGCGGGCAUAAAAUAAACGUCAAUCGAACGACAUCCUAAAAAGAUGAUCAAAUCCUUCAAUUCAAGAUCAGAGUUAUUGAUCUUAUCUAUGUAGGCGAAGAUAAAAAUUUCUAUCAAAAUUCAAAAAAUUCGAUUUUUUACACGGUAAAAUAGCAAGUAUCCCAUACGGCCUAAAAAUUGUCAAAUUUGUGACCUCUUGAUCGUAAGGUAAAUGAUGUCGAAAAAUUAUAAAAUUUAAUUUCUAGAAGUUUUAAAUGCUGUAAAUACAUUUAACGGUAUGGAUCAUCGAUUCAGAAGCUCUAUCAUCAAAAACGAUUUAUGAGUAGCGAGAGCGAUCGGUAACAUACCGAAUUUUAAAUAUAAAAGAGAAAAAUAAAUAAAAUAGUAUGAGAUACUAUUUUAUUGGAUUUAGAGAAGUGAAAUAUCGGUUGGAACGACCUGUGCUGAAAUCGGAGCGAAAACAGAAGAUUUAGAAUUUUCUGUUGGAAAGGGACUGAUAAAUUAGCAGAAAAUGUACAGUCUCAGAAAAUUAUGAAAAUUAGCGGGGAUGUCAGAAAUAUUUUUAUGAGCUAGAUUUAAAGUUUCAUAUUUUUCUGACACCCGUAGAGUGAGAAUAAAUCCGAAAGCUAUUCUGAUAAAGAUUGCAGUCGGCAUAGUUUUCGGUAACCAAACGGAGUCGAAACUGAAACUUAGAUAUAUUCUUGUUCGGUACGUUAAAUUGAGCCUGUCUGUCAAAUUUGAGGCGAAAACGGACAUCCGGAAGGGUCCAACCAAAUUUAUCAGAUUUGAGCUACCCGUAGGUGAAUAGUGUGUAGUUUAGGGGCAAAAUGGUAAAAUGGGAUUAAAUCCCUUUUGCUUCUUCUUCCUCCCAGCCGUAGCAGCCCAAACCGCGCACACACACACACACACACACGCAUGAAGGGAAGAGAGAAGCCUCUCUUCUCUCUCUAAAUCUCUCCAAAGAGAUGGAUUUGGUGGAGAUUGAAGCUUGGAGGUGGAUCGCUUCGUCUUCUUCAUCUUCUCCAUGGUUUUGAGCUCAUUUUGAGGUGAGCUUCUUGAGCCCUCUAAUGGUAGAUCUUUAAUGCUUGGUUUAAAUACCUUAUAAAUGGAUUUAGAGGAGUACUAGCAUGCUAUCUUAGAUAUUAAGCUUGAAUCAUGAAUCAAUUUAGUGAUUUUCUUGCAUAGUUGUAACCUAGGGCUCCAAAAUGCAAACUUUCAAAAUAUGAGGGUUUGAUCUCAUUUGACCCUUCGUAAACCUAAUUGCUAGGGAACGAAACGCGUUGGCGAAGACGGUUCGGCAAUCCGACGAGCGUUACAAAGUUUAUUAAAGAAAUAGACUUUAGGCUUCGGGUCCGCCGGAAGGCCGAGGCGACGUCGUAAAAUCAUGGAAAUGGAUUUGAGGCAUCGUGGCACAUAACCGAAGACCUAUAAUUUUCGGGGACUGCGAAGCGGAGCACGGUUGAGGGCAGUUGCAGUAUCGGGCCGUGCCGGAUACGGGUCCGCGGGAGGCCGAUUGCAAGUGUCGACAAGCAAUCGGAACGCGAAUUAAGGUGGGUUGUGUUUACCAAAGUGACUAGGUCGCCUUUAUGUCUAAGGAACUAAGAAUCCAUGUUGAUGCAUAUAAUAUAUAAUGAAGCAUGUAAAUGAUGUAAUGUAGCUAAAUAAUGCAUGUGAUAGUAUGAUUAAAUGCUAAAUAGAAUGCAUUAUAUAGCAAGUUAUAUAAUGCUAAAUAAUGUAAUGUAGAAAUGCUAGAAUGCAUAAUGAGCAAGUUAUAUGAUGCAUGUUUAUAGAAUGAUGUAAAUGCUAAGUAGAUGCAUAUAAAUGAUAAUAAGAUUAUAAACGCGCUGAUUAGCAUUGUGAGAUCAUAGAUGCAUGCUUAGCAUUGUGAGAUUAUAUAUGCAUAUGAACUUGGUUGAUAACUCUAGCUUGAUUAGAGAGAUACAUUGGAAAAUGAGAAUUGAUAACUCUAGAAUAAGUAGAAUGCUUAAUUGACAAUUAUAUGUGAAUUAGAUCGAGUGGCAUCUAACUUAGUGUUAAGGAACAUAGGUCAGGAGUGAUCUAAAAUCAAAUAGAUCGAGUGGCAUCCAACCUAGUUUAAUAAAUAAUGAGGUCGUGAAAUGAAAAGUACUUAACUAGAGUCAAGUGAACCUAGGUUGGAAAGAAUAAUGAUCCUAAUAUAUAAACCUAGGUUAAGAAGGUGAAAGCAAUAAACCUAAUGGUGAACUUAGGUUGAGUAAAAGCUAGACCUAGAGAGGUCCGUUCCAUAGGGGUUAAAGACCAACCCUAUGUGAUGUGAAAUGGAAUUCCGGAAUCCCAAGGCUAAAAGGACUACACCAAAGUGGUGUUGGGGUGUGUGCGACGAUUUCGCCGCCCCAGGCCUAAAGAACCUCUUCAUGGUGUGUGCGACGAUUUCGCCGCCGGAUGUUACACAGUGGUGAUCCUACCGCCUGUUGACUGAACCACUGUCAUGGCGUCUUUGCGGCGACGAUUUCGCCCGCGUGUAAGUCAUGGACCUAGGCCGUUGUUGGGUGAGGUGCGAUUCGUUCGCGCAGACGACUAGGACAGGAGUACGGUGAGCUGUUGCCGACUGAGGUGCAUGUGAGUUCCUUCACCUCGAGCUAGACAUUGCGGCGGACUAUCCGCGAUUGAUUGACUUAAGACCGAAAUCGAAUGGCAUAGAGAACUAAGGUAAGAGACCUUUGGAAAGAUGGCCAGUGGAAAAGUGCAACAAAGUAUAAAGAAUAAAGAAUAAGUAAAGAAUAAAGAAUAGAGUAAAAAUAAAGAUCGGCUAACGGAAUACAGAAUAGCUGAUAAAGUAAAAGAAGGUUACAAGUAAAGAAUAGCUAAAGAGCUAAAAGUAAACAUUAAAUGACAAGCGUAAAGACAUGAGUUAACAUAUUAAGUAGGCCGUUUAAAGGUACCCUACUUACAUGAUUAGCAGUAUUGCAUCUUGUCAUUUUCGUGAGGCAUGACAUGUGAUCUUCAAUUGAAUAUAUAUCUGUUGUAUAUUGUUGAACUAACAAUGUUGCCAGUGCCUCGUUAGAUCCCUGUUGCGGUUGAAAGAAGAACCUGGUUACUCUUGGGUGGACUAAACCCACUAGACUAUGGACAAUAGUCUCGACCCCCGUGUUGCUGUUUUGAGAGGUACAGGUACACACAUGUGCCAGCGCCGGCGGCGCAAGGCGAGGGCGUAGUUCUGCAGUUAGCGCCCUACCACCAAGACCAGAGCUAGCAGUUAGUCCCGUCUAUAUAGGCUUACGGUAAAAGGAAAUGAAAAGAAUACAAUGUAUCAAAUUGUGUAAGUAAAUGUUGUAAUUAACUUAGAUUGCAUUUGGAUGAGAAAAGAAUGGCGAAACUAUAAUAUAAAACUAUGAAAGUGACAUGAAUGAACUACUUAGGUGUGUUUAUGUUGUAUAUGAUACACUUGCCAUAUAUAUUAUGAUAUGAUAAUCUGUUUCUGGUUUGGAACCUUCGUGAAUUGUGUAUUGGUUUGCGAUGCCUUGAAUGUACAGGGAGACUCUGUCCGUAGCUACCAGGAGCAAACCCGUGUCCAUUUCGGCGAUAGUCGGGCGGGUCCGGGACCUGCAGCCAAUAGGUCGGGUGCGUCGCGGGCUGUGCAGAUCGGUUAGCAUCAAGUGAGUAUAGUUACGUCGGACCUUAUAUUAGGCCUGGCUACUAUACUAUUAGUGAGUAUGUGGAGCUCUCGUAUUCUAAAAUUGUUUUUAUGAUGAAGCUUUCCAAAUCGACGAUGCACUCCUUAAAAUGAUCAUAGAUAUUUGAAACUUCUAGAAAAUAAAAUUCUCGUAAAGUUUUGAAAUCUAAUAAAACCCGCUCCAUCAAACGAGCAUAAAAUAAACAGCAGUCCAAAAAUCCUGAACGACUCGUCCUAAAGAACAGCGCUGUGGUAUGAUCGAAUCACCCCUUCAAUUCAAGAUCACGAGCAGCUUACUUGAUCCCUUUACUCUACGAUAGCGAACUAAAUUUCUGUAUCAACAUCUCUCAAACAAUAAUUUCGAUUCUUUCUACACGUACAAAUAGCAAGUAAUUCACAACAUCACGGCCAUUAAAACUUGUCAAACUGUGACCUCAUUGAUCGUUAACGGUAAAUGAUUCCGAAAAAUUACUCAAAAUUUGCACUUCUCUACGAAGUCUUUAAAUGCUAUAAAUACCAUCUUAACGGUUGGGAUCGUCGAUCGGGAAGCUCAUAUCGAAAACGAUUUAAUAAGUACGAGGAGCGAUCGUACAUAUAAUCAGUAUAGUAGUCGGAACCCUUAUAGGCCUGUGGCUACUAUACCUAUUCAUGUAGUAUUGGAGCUCUUACUUCUAACGUGUCAAAAUUCAACAAAUCCGAUUCUUUUACACCGUUUAAAAUAGCAAGUUAUCCACAUACAUUAAAACUUGUCCAAAAUUUGUGCACCUCUGACUCGUAAGGUACAAUGAUGUUCGACAAAAUUACUCAACAAUUGAUUUUCUAGCAAAUUUUAAAAUGCUUGUAAAAAAAAUUAAAAAACAUUUUUUUAAACGAUAUGGAUCGUCGAUCUCGGAAGCGCUCUAUCAUCGACGAAUCAUCGAAUAACAGAUUUUAAUGAGUCGAAAGCGAUCGUAUCAUACAUAGUAUACUAGUCGAAGCCUAUUAUAUAUAGUAUUAUAUAUAAUUAUAUAUUAUAUAUAAUAUUAUAUAUUAUUAUAUAUAUCCAGCCAAAUACCAGUAAUUCAGCGCAUGCAAAACACCGGUAGCCUGCGAUUAAGAUAUGAAAACUAUUGCAUACUGUAGAGUGAAAAUGUAGUAAAAUUUGACAUACCACUAACACACCACUAAUCAGUAAAGAACAAGUCUUUAUUGCUUACUGUAAAACCAAUUUGACAUAGCUAGGUAUCGAACCUUUUUUAUAAAACUAGCGGAUAUCUAACUUGGCUCAAGGGGUUAGUUAGAAUACGACCCUACUUUCGGUAUCUUCUUAAUUCAUUUUUUACGGAAUAAGCGCAAAUCAUCUCUAGCUGGUAUGGUGAAAUAUUACUCACUACCAAAUGCGUGAUGACAAAAUCUCAAACUGAAUAAGGUAAUCAUUGGAUAAGCAUAUUCUGAAUUGUCCAAAUAAGGCUCAACGUCUUAGUUUAGUCGCAAACCUCCAUUGCUUUCAAUUCGCUAGCUGCUAACUACUUCUUUGCAUUCGUUAAUACUACACAUACUGCCUUAUGAAAGGUGGCUUCUCUCUGAUUUUCUUCAAACUGCCAAUCUGCGUAAAGGAAAGUUAGAUGGGAGAGUAAUGAAUGGAAAGAAUUUGUCCAGACAGAAAACUUAUUGCAAAAUACAACAAACAUGACCUAAUUUAACUCAAUAAUGCAACCUAAUUUUUAUGGGCGAGUUCCGUGCUUAGGCGGGCUGAUUAAUGAUUCAAUUAACGCUUUCUACCAAAUUUAUCCCCGCAUUCCGCGCUUCUUGACCAAAUAAGAACUGUUCCACAGAUUUAACCGCUAAAUAGUGCUCAUAAAAAGUCAAUUCUUCUCACCCACUUGUCCAAAUCUAUUAUUUGAAAUUGAUCAAUUAAUAAUGGUCAAAAUGAGAGGAUAUUCAUCACUUUAACAGUACUGAGAUUCCAAAGUCUGGGUGCUGGCAUUGCAGCCAUGGCAUUUUCUGAAUAAAAAAGGAUCAAAAAAGAAACAAAGUUUCAUAUGUGAUUAAUUCAUCAACCUGGACCUUCAAUUUUCCUGAUUCAAAUAACAAGAUUACACGAGUCUACGCAAUACUCAUUUAUCCAAAGGCGACGCCGUCAAAAAUAGCUGAUGAAAAAACCAGACCAUUUACAUAUAAAACAUUGCAACUUUUUACUAUAUUUAUUCGUGUAGAGAAUUCUACAAUUUGACGAUGCAAUUUCUUUGCUCUUUAACAAAAUGAAAUUAGCAAAAGAACCAGACAAUGAAGAGCAGCAGGAACCUACUCCAUACUGAAUAAAUGAUGGAAAUUUGGAACAGUGAUCAUAGACAAUGAUUAUGAUAUAUGGCCUCUUAUUUGGCACGGCUAAAGAUGAACUUUUAUUCAAAAGAUUGUAGGCCUCUGUUCUGCUAUGCAAAACAGUUUUUUCCCUUUUUUUGUUUUAUCAGACGAGUUCUAUGCAAUUAAAUGCAUUGCCAAAACAUUUAAAAACUAUACAUCUAUGUCUUUUUAGUGCUGGUGAAAGAAAGAACAACUCUUUCCAACUUCUAUCUUUUGCUACAUGUGACAAUCAAAAGAGUAAAAUUUCUUCUCAUUUCACAUUCAAAAAUUAGGUCAAAUGAUUCAAUUUGCCAGCAUAAUUUCUGCCAUAGAAAGAAGUUCACCACCGACUAAAAAAUACUUAGACGCAAGAAAUUACACCCAAUCACUUCGCUGUACGCUAUAAGCAAGAAGGGCGGCAUAUCCUUAAUAGUGUUUUUCCAUAGUGAAAGAGGAACUAGUUACUACCUUAUCGUACACUAUUUAUGCGAAUAAGUGACAAGGCCUAUUAAAAUUUUGAUUUCUACUAACUAACUUAACUCGUAUUUANNNNNNNNNNNNNNNNNNNNNNNNNUAAUUAAGUUAAAAAAUAAAGAAUUAGGAGGAGUUCAAUGAGAAUUUGAUAAAAAAAAAUAAAAAAAGAAAGAGAAAAAACCUGAUUUGUGAAUGAAAAAUGUAACUCUUGACAAAACAUCUUACAAAGAAGAUCCAUACAUUAGAAUAAGUAGGCAUUAUAAUAACCAUGGAAUAAAUUAAAUCUUGCAUAUAAAAUCCACUCCCAAAUACCAACUCAAGCGCCACUAUGCUCCUCACGCCGCAGUCCCGGCGCAGCGCUCGUAGGGCGCCUCCCCGAACCAGUUGCCGGGCGGUCGUAAUUACAGGUGAUGAUGACGCCGCCGCCGGUUGCACUCGACGGCGGCGCAGCCGACGCGCCUCCGGUGUUGUUCCCACGAUCUGGGUGAAGUGUCCGCAGACCUGUCCGGCGGCGAGCACGAGUUGUUGGCGGGGUUGUAGAACGCGUGCUCCUCCGCCCAGUUGAGCACCACGUCGGUCGCCUUCCAGUCCACCCGGUGCCCAGAACAAGUUCUCUCCGUACGGCCCCUCGAGUGCUCCAUGGUGCAAUUGCUGCGCAGCUGGUCCGACCACCGCCGCGGUACCGCGCCAGAUGCUGGUCCAUCGGAUGGCGUCGCCCCACCAACGCAGCGAAUGCGGUUUGUGCGCCAUCAAGAACUCCCGCGCCAUGCUCCUGUAGUACCCCGGCCGUUCGUGAAGGACACCGGCCUGAAGACGCCAUUGAAUGGGUUCGGCAGCGUCGGCUGGCUGGCGUCGGGCGGAGGAGGGAGUAGUCGGAGGUGGAGGUGGAGUGGGAGGAGACGGAGGGGCAGUGGGGGUGGAGGGCUGAGGUAUUGGGAGCGGAGAGGAGGAAGGAGGUGGACGAGACGAGGAGGAGGAAGAAGAGAGCGCGGGGCUCGCCAUCCCUCGUUGGGCGAAAAGGAUGGAGAGAGGAAUAUGAAGAAGGGGAGGAUGGGAGAGGUGAGAGAAGGUUGUGAGUUAAAAUUAAUCGAUGAUGCAUGGUUGUGUUUUUUUUAUUCCCUAGAAUGAAAUGGGUGGUGGUAACGACGAGGCUUUUGUUUAGGCCGGGAAAUGCGGCACUGCGUACAUUGACUCGUUUAACUUCAUGCAAAAAAAUUGUGCUAUUAAUGUAUCCUACACUCUUUGAUUCACACGUCGUGUCGCCACUCUUUGAUUCGUUUGUUAUAAGGCGCUCAAUCGACUAAUUUUUUGGACAAAGCCCUACUUUGUGCCUGGGUUGUGAUACGAUAGAAUAAUAUAUAUUCAACCUUGAGUAGCACUUAUUAUAAAAAACACUAUAAUAAAAAUAAUGUAUAGCGAAUACUUUUAAUAUAUGGUACAUGUAAAAAAAAAUAUUAUUGGCUAAAUUACCGACACUUUUUAAAAGUGUUAUUACAUUUGGGGUCGCUAUAAAUUAGCGACACUUUAAAAGUGUUAUUACAUUUGGGGUCGCUAUAUGUGGCCGCCUUAAUGUUUGGCACCCACUUCUUCAGCGAACUAGGGCAGAGGACACGUAGUGAUCGUAGUCCUCUACUGUCCCUUCGAGAUCUUCGCAGUCGAACUCCAACACCAGAACCCUACCUCGUCCGCUGCGACGCGAAGGAGGAGAAUAGCAUAUGGUGAUCAAAUUUUCUUUUCUUUUUUUUCUAUCUGUAAUCGAGCCGAAUGGGCUGGUGUUAGGAUAGUCAAUAGGUAUGGAGGAACCCGAAAUUUUAUCCGAACCCGAACCCGAAUGGAACGGAUAUAUCUGAUGGAUAUGGAUAUGGAUUCGGAUAUGAAUUUUGAUUGUACCCAACCGAACCGAACCCGAACCCAACCCGAACCUGAAUCCGAUUAUUUUGUGAUGAUAUAUAUAUAUAUAUAUAUAUAUAUAAUACAAAAUAAAUUCGGAUUCAGGUUCGGGUUGGGUUCGGGUUCGGGUUCGGGUUGGGUACAAUCAAAAUUCAUAUCCGAAUCCAUAUCCAUAUCCAUCAGAUAUAUCCGUUUCAUUCGGGUUCGGGUUCGGAUAAAAUUUCGGGUAUCCAUACCUAUUGACAUUCCUACACCCAGCCCAUUCGGCUCGAUUACAGAUAGAAAAAAAAAGAAAAGAAAAUUUGAUCACCAUAUGCUAUUCUCCUCCUUCGCGUCGCAGCGGACGAGGUAGGGUUCUGGUGGUUGGAGUUCGACUGCGAAGAUCUCGUAGGGACAGUAGAGGACUACGAUCACUACGUGUCCCUCUGCCCUAGUUCGCUGAAGAAGUGGGUGCCAAACAUUAAGGCGGCCCACAUAUAGCGACCCCAAAUGUAAUAACACUUUUAAAAAGUGUCGCUAAUUUAUAGCGACCCCAAAUGUAAUAACACUUUUAAAAAGUGUCGGUAAUUUAGCCAAUAAUAUUUUUUUUUACAUGUACCAAUAUUUAAAAGUAUCGCUAUACAUUAUUUUUAUUAUAGUGUUUUUUAUAAUAAGUGCUACUCAAGGUUGAAUAUAUAUUAUUCUAUCGUAUCACAACCCAGGCACAAAGUAGGGCUUUGGUCCAAAAAAUUAGUCGAUUAGAGCCCUUAUAACAAACGAAUCAAAGAGUGGCGAACGACGUGUGAAUCAAAGAGUGUAGGAUACAUAUAAUAGCACAAUUUUUUGCAUGAAGUUAAACGAGUCAAAUGUACGCAGUGCCGCAUUUCCCGGCCUAAACAAAAGCCUCGUCGUUAACCACCACCCAUUUCAUUCUAGGGGAAUAAAAAAAACACAACCAUGCAUCAUCGAUUAAUUUUAACUCACAACCUUCUCUCACCUCUCCCAUCCUCCCCUUCUUCAUAUUCCUCUCUCCAUCCCUUUUCGCCCAACGAGGGAUGGCGAGCCCCGCGCUCUUCUUCUUCCUCCUCCUCGUCUCGUCCACCUCCUUCCUCCUCUCCGCCUCCCAAUACCUCAGCCCUCCACCCCCCACUGCCCCUCCGUCUCCUCCACCUCCACCUCCACCUCCGACUACUCCUCCUCCGCCCGACGCCAGCCAGCCGACGCUGCCGAACCCAUUCAAUGGCGUCUUCAGGCCGGUGUCCUUCACGAACGGCCGGGGGUACUACAGGAGCAUGGCGCGGGAGUUCUUGAUGGCGCACAACCGCAUUCGCGCGUUGGUGGGGGCGACGCCACUCCGAUGGGACCAGCAUCUGGCGCGGUACGCGCGGCGGUGGUCGGACCAGCUGCGCAGCAAUUGCACCAUGGAGCACUCGAGGGGGCCGUACGGAGAGAACUUGUUCUGGGGCACCGGGUGGGACUGGAAGGCGACCGACGUGGUGCUCAACUGGGCGGAGGAGCACGCGUUCUACAACCCCGCCAACAACUCGUGCUCGCCCGGACAGGUCUGCGGACACUUCACCCAGAUCGUGUGGAACAACACCGAGCGCGUCGGCUGCGCCCGCGUCGAGUGCACCGGCGGCGGCGUCAUCAUCACCUGUAAUUACGACCCGCCCGGCAACUGGGUCGGGGAGCGGCCCUACGAGCUCGCUGCGCCCGGGACUGCGGCGUGAGGAGCAUAGUGGCGCUUGAGUUGGUAUUUGCGGAGUGGAUUUUAUAUGCAAGAUUAAUUUAUUCCAUGGUUAUUAUAAUGCCUACUUAUUCUAAUGUAUGGAUCUUCUUUGUAAGAUGUUUUGUCAAGAGUUACAUUUUUCAUUCACAAAUCAGGUUUUUUCUCUUUCUUUUUUUUUUAUUUUUUUUUAUCAAUUCUCAAUUGAACUCCUAAUUCUUUAUUUUUUAACUUAAUUAAUUAUGAUGGGAUCCCUACCGUCUAUAAUAAUAAUAUAAUUCUAUUAUGUUUAACAGAAAUGGAUAUGUGGACUUUCAACAGAACAUUAAAUUUCCCCAAAACCAAAAAAACAAAACCGACAACAAAAACAAAAAAAAAAACACGAUCAAUCAAAGGCCAUACACUACAACAAAAACGGUCUAUGGUGACACUUUUAAAUAUCGGUACAGGUCAAAAAAAAUACUGCUGGCUAAAUUACCGACACUUUCAAAAAGUGUUGCUAUAUGUGGGGUGGCUAGGAAUAUAGUGACAGUUAAAGAGUGUCGCUAUAACCUAAAAGAGUGCUGCUAAUUUACAAAUACUUAUUUAAGCAUUUAGCAACCACCGAAACUCUACCUUGUCGCUGCGGUGGCGGAGGAGGACGAGAGGGAAGGGCUCUUCGUCUAGAAUUUCAGUGGAUUGAGUGAGGGGAGAAGAAAAGAUGGUAAUCGAUUUUUCUUUUUUUCUUUUUUUUCUUUUCUGUUUGUAAUUGAGCCGAAUGGGCUGGGUGGGGUGCGUUGAGUAUAGUAACCUUUUAUUUUUGGUUGGAUUGUGCUUUAUAUUUAGGCAUUAGUAGAUUUUUUUAAAAAUUUUGGUAUAAAUAGAACACUUACACAAAAGUGUCCCAAACAUGUGUCCCUAUAACCUAAUUCUGUUGUAGUGAUAGCAGGUACGCGACGAUCUCCAUCAAAAGUAAUAGAGUUUUAAAUAUAUAUAUAACCUUAUAAUUUUACCACCUAAUAUUUUAACUUAUUUGAUCUAUGUCAUUCCAUAGCUCAUCCUCUUUAAAAUUUAGAUGUACCAUUCCUUUCAACAAAAGCUCAUUUGGAACAUCUAGUGUAACCCAUACAACUACAUUCACAAUUCAAAAGCAAUGCACACAAUUUUUUUUUUUUUUUUUGAGAAAGGGGUAGCACGCUACCCGCUUCAUUCAUUGAAAGUAUGAACUAGGCUACAUGGGUGAUAUAACCUGGGUCUCGAGAGAGCGAGGAAAAAAAAAAAAAAAAGGCGCAGGGGGGGGGUUAGGAAGGGGUUUGCUUUGCUGGAAUAAGAAAAUCCCACUCCGACUGUAGCUGUUUAAGCUUGUGUGCUACUAACAUAGGAUUCGGUGGAAUAUUUCUAAAGAUCAUAUCAUUUCUUGCCUUCCAAAUAGACCACCAGCAUCCUACCAAUUCGGAAAAGCUGCUUCUCGUCUUAUGGCAUCCCUUCCUAUCCAUCCACGGGAUCCAAACUAGAAUUACAUCGUUUCCCAGGUCCCUUGCCUCUGCGCCGUCCACUCCCGUCGCGAUGAUAAACUUGCUGAACACACACCGCGUGAACAGCUGGUCCACUGAUUCCUCUUCCGCUCCGCAAAAUACGCAAUCUAAGUUUCCCACCCACCCACGCUUCACGAGUAAAUCAGUUGUAGGGAGCCUCUUCUUGAAAACGAGCCAACAUAACACUUUUACUUUAAGGGGAAUAUGGAGUCUCCAAAUCUUGCUUAUAGAAGGGGCCCUCAUUUCCCCGUCAGAUAACGCUAAAUAGGUUGUAUUUACCGAGAAAAGUCCGUUAGGGCUCCAACGCCAAUAUAACUGGUCCGGCCUUUGCUCAACUGUGAAGUAGUAUAUCCUUUCCUUGAAUUCUACAAUGUUAUCAUUAAUCCCAACAAAAAUUUCGGGCUCUGCACCCAGAAUCCUAUGCCAGUUCCAAUUGUCUCUCAUGAAGCAAUUCCUGACUUUAAAUUUUUUUCGCUCAGACAUCUGAUAGACCUCGGGGAAUGCUAGGUCUAGCGUGGUCUCCCCACACCAGCGAUCUAGCCAAAAGUCGAUAGAUUUCCCAUUGCCUAGUUUAAAAAUGGCUCCCUAUUUGAAGAUGACGCUUAGAUUAAGGACUCCUUUCCACAAGUGAGAGUGUGGCCUAAAAGAUUUGCUUUCCAUCAAAGGUCUCCUCCUUUGGUAAUAUAGGUCCCGGAUUACUCUAUUCCACUGCAAUUGGGGAGCCGUGUGGAACUUCCACCACCAUUUAGUUAGUAGGGCAUGGUUCAUGGUCAUUACAUCCAGGAUGCCUAGGCCCCCUUCUCUCUUGCUCUUACAAACGUUCUUCCAAGCUAUCAGACAUCCUUUGCCAGGAGAGUUACGUCCCCCGUUCCAAAAAAAGUCUCGACGGAGAGCUUCGAUACGCUUUAUCACCCAUUUAGGUGCCUUGAACACCGAAAGAAAAUAGAGUGGGAAGUUUGUUAGAAUAGCGUUUGCUAGGAUAAGUCUACCCCCCCUAGAGAGUAGUUUGGCCUGCCAACCAUCGAUCUUGCACUGAACUUUCUGAAUGAUGCCCCUCCAGUCCUCCUUAGAGGGGGGUUUGGGAGGGAGAGGCAAGCCCAGAUAUUUGGUCGGGAAGGAGCCAACGCGGCACUCGAGUAAAUUUGCUAGAGUACUCGCUUUUCCUUCUAUAUGUCCAAGGUAGUACAAUUCGGACUUUUCUUUGUUGAUUUUCAUUCCCGAAGCCCAUUCGAAGAGUUGCCAGACAAAUCUGAGGUUUCUUAUAUAUCUCCUUUUGGCCUCGCAAAAGAAGAAGGUGUCAUCCGCAAAUUGAAUGAGAGAGGUCUUGCUCGCGUCUGACGGCCCGAUACCUUUGAAGAGGUUGUUACGUAGUGCCUCCUUAGUCAAGCGGGCCAAACACUCCGCCACCAUCAAAAAAAGAAAAGGAGAGAGCGGAUCCCCCUGCCGUACUCCUCUUUUAGUCUUGAUCUAAUUGGUCGCCUCUCCAUUAACAAGAAUAGCGACUUUCGCGUGGCACACACACAAUUCUAUCCAACGGCACCACUUGUCGUCGAAUCCCCACCACCGCAAUAUACGAAAAAGAAAAGGCCAGUCUAUCCUAUCAUACGCCUUUUCGAAGUCUACUUUUACAUCGACACCCUCAAUAGCUUUCUUGCUACCCCAUCCGAAGAGUUCGGUCACAGUUACAUACGCAUCAGUAAUGUUCCUCCCCUUUAGAAAUGCUGACUGUGACGGGGAGAUCAGGUAGUCCAUGACCAGUUCGAGACGAUUGGCUAAAACCUUAGACAAGAUCUUUUGAAUUCCGUUCAGUAAGCUAAUAGGACGGUAGUCAUUGGCCCGUUUGGCCCCCUCCUUUUUAGGAAUAAGACAUAUGAAAGUAUAAUCGAUCGGAGCAGUGGACAACCUUCCCUCAUACAUCUCUUGGAAUAAGCUAAAGAUAUCCUCCUUGAGAGUGUCCCAAAAGGUUUGGUAAAACCGUAAUGGAAAACCAUCAGGGCCUGGCACCAUAUCGCUCCCUCGUUGGAAAACCGCUUGUUUGAUUUCGUCAAUGUUGAAGCGAUCAGUUAUCCUUAUAAGGUCUGGGGCCGAAAUGCGGUUUGAAUUGAAGAGGCCACUCCAAUCUCCAACUAUAGCAGGGCCCGAUUUAUCCGGCGUGAAAAGUGUCUUGAAGAAAAGAUAGAAGUAAUUCUGCUUGUCCUCUUCGGAAUGAUACUGAACACCGUUAUCAAUGAUCAAGCCGAUCGUGUUGGCUCUAUGUCUGCCAUUGGCUACAGAAUGGAAGAAUUUAGUGUUGCUGUCUCCCUCUUUUAUCCAAUGUUGUUUAGCCCGGGUUCGCCAGACCGAAGCUUCAUCGUUUAGAACUCCGCGUAGCUUCUUCUUAAGUUCCGCUCUUUUCGACAGUAAGUCCAGUGUGAGGUCCCCCAAUUCUUCAGCUUUGUCGAUAGAUUGAAUUUCGUCCAUUAGGAAAUUCUUUAGUCUUCUUAUACUGUAGAAUUCGCUAGCACACCAUUCUUUGAUCCUUUGGCGGCAGUGUCUCAAUUUCGCAGUGAAAGUAAGCACGGCCGACUUAGCCGAUGUACCCUGGGCACCCUCCUUCCACCAAUCCGGCAGUUUCGAAAUGAACCAUUGAAUUGAAUGGCUCAGAUUUUGAAACAAAAGAGCCAUUGAAUUGAAUGGCUCAGAUCAAAUAAAUUGAAAAAUUAGGUACUAAAAUUAAAAUUUUUUAAAAGAAACGUAGCAUAAUAACAACAAGACCUACGGAGUCUUAGUUCGGUAAUGCGGCAGCUAAAAUUACUUCUUUUUUCUUUUCUUUUUUUUUUUUUUUUUUUUUUUUUUUUUUUUUUUUAAUGCUUUUACGCUUUUGAAGGAUAUAAAAAUCCGACGCGUAUUCAUGCUUCCCUUCUUUUAUGCCAUAAUCGACCGUAUUACCAAACUAGCCCCAAGUCUUUCUCCGGCAACUCCGGCAGCAUGAAGUAAAACAAGUGCUUUGCUAAAAUAAAUAAAAGACGACGAAUUUUCCGGCAAAUUCAAGCCUCGACACAACAAUUUGAUUCAAGAAACACAAAGGAAAAUGCUGUGUUCGUCAAACAAAGUCUUCUUAAUUUGGCCCCACAGUUGUGCAUUAAUUAAAGAAAUAAGAAGAAGAUGGUAGGUUUUGGCAGAUAAUUGAAGUUCAUUGAUUGAGCUCUCACCAGUAAGACCGUAAAUUCUGAGCGUCCAGAAAAGCCCAAUAAACCUGCAGCCUGCAGGUUACCUUAGGUGAUCUUGAAUUUCGAUUUAGCGACAAAUGAUGUAACUGAAGAAGUUGCUCUUCCAUGUCCUGAUGCGUAAUUACUCCUCCAUUGAGUCGCCCUCAGUAACUUCCACCUUCGGCUUGAGUAGCUUAGUUUUGGUUGCCAAGACCUCUGCAAUGAAUACAUACAAAAAGACUCUAGUUACAAAGCCAUUCUCUUUUGGGUAAGUUGCACCACGGGUCUGCCAGCUCUUUCUUGAAUUACAAGUUAGUCCUCGAUUUCUAAAUUUAAGAAUUUAACAUCCCCAAUCACAUACGUGUUACAUUAUAUAUAGUCAUUCCUGUCAAAAGGCCAAAGCUUAAGGUAAUGCGACUAAUGGAAACGCCAACAUGGCUACUACAAAUCCACUCGACAUCUCAGCUAAUUGCGAUGGUGAAAAUGCGUAGAGAACCCUUCAACUAUAGGCCAUUCUGAAAUAGUCCCCUCCACUCAACUUUUUUUUUGGAAUCAAGUGAUUUUAAUCAAAAAUAGGAAAAAAAAAAAGAGAGGAAAUUUUAUUAAAUUCAUUGAUGAUUCAGCAAAUUUAAUGACUUUAAUCAUAGUUUAGCAUAUAAAACUAGACCAAUUAAAGGCUAGUCAUUAGAUUUGAUAAGCUAUUAUAAUUAAUUAACUAUAAAAACUCAUAAUAAAGUGAAGAAGUCAAGGGCAUCUCAAUUUUAUUGCUUUUAUGUUAGAAUUACAAGCAUAAAAAAAGCAACGGGGCAAAAAAAAAGGUUUGCAAAAAUUUAAUUGAUUUCUAACUAGCACAAAAAAAAAAGGUUUUUAUCUUGGAUUUAGAAGAACCAAAAUCUGUAGAGAAUGCAAAGAAGAAAAUAAAAAAGACCACGUUUUUGGUGUGGCAGUCGGAGAAGCCGAGAGAUCAAAGAUGGGAGGUGCAGUGGGGAGGAGAUGAAGGGGUUGUGGAGCACAGAGAAAAAAGGAGGGCGAUGGAGUGUUGAAACGGCGACGACGAGCGCGCGGACGGGAGCUGCAGACAGGCCAAGAAGAGGGCGGAAGGUGAACAUGAAACAAAGGGAGGCUCGGAGUCGGAAUCGGAAUAGGAAUCAAAAUAAGUUGGAAUCGAAAUCGGAAUGACUCAUUACUUAAUUCUGUUUGGUUUAUUACCUGAAUCAGAAUCAAAAUAAAUCAUUUUCAUUGUCGGUGUUUGGUUCAGGUGGAUAUAAAAAACGUAAUCAAAUUAAUAUACUAACAUUAUAUUUAUAAUAUAUUAAUUUAAAUUCAAAUUAAAUAUUAAAUAUUAAAAAUUUACAUCAAAAUUUUGAAAUAAUGAUAAAAUUUUAAAUCUAUUUUUUUAAAAAAAUUUAAACUUUAAUUGAAGUUGAGUGGAUAAUUCAAAAUAUGAAACUAAAUUUUGAUUUAUUCAAAUUCAAACAUAAAAUUAGAAUUUUAAUUUUAAUUUGAAUCCAUAAAUUUAAUUUAAGUUUGAAAUAAAAUUUGAAUAAAACUUUAUAUAAAUUAAAAUUUAAUUUAAAUUCAAAUUCAUAAGUUAGAUUCGAAAUACUUGAUUAAAUUUUAANUAAAAUUUACAAUUAUAUAUAUUUAAUUUUUAAAUUUUAACUCAUAUUUUAAUUAAAAAAUUAAAAAAAUAAAUUUAAUCCGAAUAAAUAUCCAUUCCGUCCGAAUUCAACUUCCAAUCCGGCCUUCUAGGCCGGAUUGAAAAAAGGGGUGAUUGGGGGAUUCCCAUUCCACUCGGGAAUCGGAAUCGGAAUGGAACUUCCGCGUACCAAACACCCACAAACGGAUUCACCCAUUCCGAUUCUGAUUCCAGGAUAAAAAAGGAGCGAACCAAACACGCCCUAAGAGUAAAGGUAAAGGAAUUUUACCCUUUUUUUUUACUUAUUUAUUUUUAAUAUAUAAAAAGAUAAAAAUAUCCAACUAUUUACUCAUAGCCUAUUGAUAAUUGAAGGGCAUAAGAGUUCAACAAAAAUAAAUAUGGUGCUGGUUGGUGAAAAAAAAAAGGAGAGAAGUAAUGACGGGGCAUAUGAGAAAUUUUCUCGGCGACAAUUGUCGCCACUAUUGCUUAUGUAUUGGCGGCGACAAGUUUAUGUCGCCACCAUAUCUUUUACAUCAGUGGCGACAAUGAUUGUCGCCACAAAAAUGUCGCUACCAAAAUUCCUCUUUCUUGUAGUGAAACCUGGGAACUUGUAGAUCUACACCCAGAUAAAGAAGCUAUCGGCUUAAAGUGGAUUUACAAAACCAAGAGCAAGCCCGACGGAUCCAGUCAAAAAUUAAAGGCUAGAAUUGUUGUCAAAGGGUAUUUACAACGAGAAGGUAUUGAUUUUUCUGAAACAUUUGCUCUAGUUGCUCGUUUUGAUACAAUAAGAACAGUUUUGGCUCUUACGGCUCAAUAUAAAUGGAAAGUUUUUCAACUUGAUGUUAAAUCUGCAUUUUUAAACGAUUUUUUGGAUAAUGAAAUUUAUGUUAAGCAGCCUCAGGGAUAUAAAAUUAAAGAUAUAAAGUAUAGACUCAAAAAGGCAUUGUAUGCACUCAAACAGGCGCCGCAGGCUUGGUAUAGUCGAAUUGAUGCCCAUUUUCUUCAAAAUGGUUUUAGCCGAAUUGAAAGUAAGCCUACACUUUAUGUGAAGAGCCAAGGUACAGAAGUUUUGAUUGUUUGUCUUUAUGUUGACGACUUAAUAUAUAUUGGUAAUUACUCUCAGAAAAUGAUUGAUAAAUUUAAGUCUCAUAUGGUGCGAGAGUUUGAAAUGACGGAUCUCAAUUUGAUGAACUAUUUUUGGGUCUUGAAGUUGUAUAAUCAGAUAAAGAAAUCUUUAUUUCUCAAAAGAAGUACAUAUCUGAUUUACUUGACAGAUUUGGUUUCAAGGAUUGUAAUUCAGUGGCAAAGCCGAUGGGAACAAAUUUGAAGUUGUCGGUUAAUGACGGUGCUAAAAAAGUUGAUGCCAAUAAUUACAGAAGUCUAAUUGGGAGUUUACUAUAUGUGAAACGCACGAGGCCAAAUAUUUUAUUCUCCACAAGCUUGCUUUCUCGGUUUAUGCAAAAUCCGAGUAAAAUCCAUUUGGGUGCAGCAAAGCAGAUUCUAUGAUAUUUGAAGGGGACUAGUGGCCAUGGAUUAUGGUUCACUAACUCUAACGUUUUUUCUUGUUUUGGUUUUUCUGACCGUGAUUGGGCAGGUUCUAUUGACGAUCGUAAGAGUACAAGAGUACAAGUGGAUAUGUGUUCAAGCUCGGUUCAAAUGCGGUGUGUUGGUUCUCAAUAAAAACAACACACGACGGCGUUAUCUUCUUCUGAGGCCGAAUAUAUUGCGGUUACUGGUGCAGCUUGUCAGGCAAUUUGGUUGCGACGAAUUUUAUGCGAUCUGAAGCAGAACCAAACGGACUAGACAGUCAUCUACUGCGACAACCAAUUUGCGAUCGGCAUGACAAAGAACACAGUGCACCAAAAUCGCACCAAGCAUAUCGAAAUUCGAUACCAUUUUAUUCGAGACCAGGUGGCAAACGGCAAUAUCGUGUUGAAGCAUUGUUCGAUUGAUCAGCAACUAGCAAAUAUUUUCACUAAGUUAUUACCAGUGGAGAAAUUCGUUUGGUGUCGUGAAGGACUUGGCGUCAACAAGUUUGGUCUUACAGAGGCGUGUUGAAGAUAAGACCAAACUAUUUGUUAGGAAAUUAGUUACUUAAAAUAAUUCUUUAUUUGUUUAGUUUGAUAAACAUGUGUUAGUUGGGUUGUUAAUCAAUUUGUUGGAUUGUUAGCAUUACUACCUAUUUAUAUUGGUAAUCAUCUAGGCCAUUAAUGUAUCAGAGAGGACCCAUCAAUUGAUUCAGUUUCUUCAUAGAGUAAUGCUUCUAUUUUUUUUUUUUUUUGUUACCGUUCAUUCACGCAUAUUCAACGGCUUAAAUUUAGUUUUUUUAAAAUUGUGACCUACAAUAGCAGGUCACUUUGGGAGAGGUACCGGUUACCAGGUAUCUCAAAAAAAAGUAUUUUUGUCUUUUAAUACAUGAGCAAUUUAGUCAUUUUACUUCUACUAUAUUUUCAAAAUUUUUAUUUUCUCUUUGUUUUCUUUUUCUCUCUUUAUCUUUCCUUUCAUAAUUUGGCAUUUCAUAUAAGAAAAUUUUCAAAUUAUUUAACAAUAUGAUCUUUUAAUUUUUCUUUUCUCUUUGUUUAUUUGUUUAAUAUUUCAAAUGAGUUUAAUUUUAAGAAACUAUGCAUUAAAAUUUCUUCUCAUAUCUAUUGCUUUCUAAAUCUUUUUUUAAUAAAAUAAGAAUGAAAUUUAGAUUAUUUCGUGAUUUAAUUUGUUAGAUAACUUGUUGAAAUUUGCGAUGGCUAAUGGAUCAGAAAACAUUAAAUUUUUUUAGUUUUGAUAGUAAGAACUUUUAAAUUCCUAUAGUAAUAACCUUAUAUUUCUAAUAAAUUAUCUACAUUAAAUUUUUUAAAUAGUAAUAAAGAAUUAGUAUCUAAAUUAGAAAAAAAUUAUUAAAUUUUUUUAAACAUAUUAAAUUUGUUGAAUUUAAAUAUUUGCCCAUAUUUAAUUUUUUAAAAUUAGUAUACAAAAUUAAUGACUAAGAUGAAUUCAUAAUUUUGUUAAACGUAUUAAAUAUGUUAAAUUUAAAUAUUUACCAACAUUACAAAUAUUUUUAAAUAGUCAUACAAAAUUAAUGUCUAAAGUAGAACAACUCUAAAUUUUUUUUAACAUAUUAAAUACAUUUAAAUUAUAAAUUUUUUAACCUACAUUCAAAAUUUUUUAAAUAAGUGAUACAAAAUUAAUGUCUAAAAUAUAGGAAUUUAAAAGUUUCUUAAAUAUAUUAAAUAUGUUGAAUUAAAAUAUUUACCAACAUUACAAUUUUUUAAAAUAGUAAUACAAAAUUCCUCUAAUUUAAAUUUCACUUUUAAAUUUUAAAUAUUUAAUAUUUAAAAUUUAAAUUCAUCGCAUUUAGAAAUAGAACUAUUUCUAAAAUUUCUAUAAUUUAAAUUAAUGCAUAAUUUUAGAAACACUAAAACAUUUAAAGUAGAUGCCUAAAUAAUCCUUUUACCUGCUAAAUAUUAAAAUUACAUUUUUACCCUCUAUUAAUCAACGGUUAAGAUCUUUUUUAUUUUUUUUUUUAAAAGUACCGAAUUAUUUCUCUUCUCCAUAUUAUUCUACUGCAUCUUUUCUUUUCUAUUCUCUUUUUUUUUUUUGUGAAUCACACAUACUAUAACAAGUGUGGUGAUCUUUCGAGUGUGCCUAUCACCAUAACACUUUUGCCUUUAUAGUAGUACUUUAGAAUUGAACAAAUUUGUGAGAACUUAUUUAUAUCUAGUUGUUAUGUGUUUAGUGGAUCCAAAUGAUAGUUUUAUGAAGUAUAUGGUAUGAACAGAUUUGUAUCUAGUUUUGAUUUAUCAAGUUUGUAUUGUUGAUUUUUCUUGGAAUAUUUGUUUACAAAUAAAAUGAAAUAGAUGCUAAUUUUGUAUUUUUAAAUUUGUUUGGAAAAGCUACUAGUUUUUCAAUUCCAUGAAAAAUACAAUAUUCUAUGCGCGCAAAUACUGAAAAAUAGUAUAUUAUUUUGGAGUAUUUAGAACUUGUACCAAUUUAUUACAUCAGAAUAGAAAACUCUAUUUUCGAUUCCCCUCACUGCCAAAUGGGCCCUUUGGCCCGAUCAAUGCUUGAUUAGGAAUCCAAUGCUUUAUGUUUGAUGUGGCCUUCAACCACCGAUUGUCUUUGGAGCAAGUGGCAAAGGGUUUGGUGGUUAUUAUCUGAGACCCAAGUUCGAAUCCUAGUUGAUUCACAUUUUCAGCUAAGUUUAUUUCUAAAUAAAAUAAACGAAGCGGGUAGCAUGCUAUCUAUCUCUCAAAAAAAAAAAAAAAAAAAAAAAAAAAACAAUCAAUCACUCCUUUGGAUUCAUAAAAGGUGCUGAUCGAACAGACUGUGCAUGACAUAAUUUUGUAAAAAAAAGCAAAUCAACUACUGAUUUUACUCAUGCAUCCCAAUGUAGAGAGCAAUGUUAUGGACUUAGUGAUUUUUACUCACUAAAGUCCAUGCGACGUUAACCUUCCUACUUGAAGAUGAGCAAGGAUGCGUCGUUCUUGUUAGUCAAUCCCGGUCCAUAUAGCCUUGCUUGCAGUCCAUUGUGCCUUCUCGCCUACGAGGCUGGAGCCAUGCUGCCGCAGUCCGCUUUCACUUCUACACAUGCUCCCUAUCCCUGCAUCGAGAAUUUUGCCGUUGAGCCUGAAUAGUCGAGCGUGCCUGUCCUUCACAGCACGCUUGCGUACACUGCCAAGCUGCGCUCCCUGCUCUUGCCGAGCUUGGACUCUUGGGUGGUUCUGCUGUAACAUCAAUAAUGGUAACAUUUUAUGACAAUAUGAUUUCUUACUCGAACCGGCUCUGAUAUCAACUGUCACGGACUUUAUUUGCUCAUCAAAUCCCUUGCAACGUCCGCCUUCCUAUUCAAAAAUGGACAAACCUACAUUGUUCCUGAAUAGUCUAGAACUUCUCACCGGCCUCAAAGACUAAGUGCAAAAUUACGAAAACGAGAGAAAGGAAUAGACGUUCUACAAAAACUAAGUACUCUAUUACUUAGAAACAAAAAUUAUAAAUACACUCUAUUCUCUACCUUGGCCACGGCCACCUCUCUAUUUAUAGGCAAUUACAAUGUUAAACACACCCACUAACACUUAAAAAAUUGCCCACAUAAGUACAAGAUGAAUCUAAGGAUUGCCCGAGUUUUCGCUGGCAAUUUUGGAGACUUUAAUUCUAGCAGUUGCAUGACCCUCGUUUUUCAUAGAAGCUACUCAUGAUUUGGUGCCCCUUUAGCUGCUUAUUUAACAAAGUUGGGCCAAGGAUUUGGCCGAGUUGGAAAUUUUUUUAAAUCCCUGACAGUAUAUAAGGUGUCUUGAAAAUAAUAUUGUAAUAUUACUCUUUACUAGAUUAAACUUAUAAGUAACAAUUAGGAAGUAUAUGUAGAUAGAUGCAAACUAGUUCCCUUACAAAGAGAGAUGGAUUAUAUAUAAUUAUACGCGGCGUACCUAUCAUUUUUUUUUUUUUUGUUUUGAAAGAGGUACCUGUCAAUUCCCAAAACCAAUCACAUGAUGACCAUUAUAAAUUCUGGACGGAACUGAAGAAGUUUUAUAUAUAUGUGUGUGUGUGGAGGGAAAAAUUCUAGAAUGUAACGGGUAUAUUAGUGACGUGACGUAACAAACCAAUCAAAUUAAUCUUUUUAAGAAUAUAUGUCCCAUCAUGAUUGUAAAAAAGUAUUUUUAUUGUACUUUUGUUUGAAAAGAAAGAAUGUGAUUGGCUUGUUAUUGAUGACGUGGUGCAAGUGUGACAGUGUAGAAUUCCUCGUGGGGGGGGGGGCAGCUAAAUUAAAGCUGCGCCACACAACAAUGGCUGCACAAUUCUUUAUCAACAUCUUCCUCCGUGGGCUCGAAGCUCGUCCAUGGUUCUCCUGUCUGAUCAUCCGGUUCGGUGUCGAAGGUGUGGACUGCCCAAAUAUAGCUGCAGCCGGCCGAUGAUCUUUGGUAUCCUGCCAGGAAGUAUAGCCGCGUCCCGACGGGCGCCAAGGUCAGGUAGUUGAGCCUCCGCGACGGCCUGGAGGGCCCUUCCUGAUCAUCACAAGCAGCGUCGUGAGUGAUGAGGAGCGACGACAGGUCGGGGCGCUGUGAGCGCUCCACGAUGUUCCAAAUCUUGAGCUUGCCGUCGUACGCCUCGACUUGACCCUUCCACGUGUUCAGGCAGUCCCCGGAGCUGAGCAGCCGCCCCCCGACCGCCGCGAUCUGGUUGGGCGGCACGUCCAGCUGCCACAUCCCCGGGAUCAGAUCCCACUUGCUUCGCCCCUCGUCGUACGCCUCCGCGGAGCUCCGCUCCAACAAUCCCGCCAAGCAUUCCCGCUCCGGCGUGAACCCGCCCACCACGUGGAACCGCCCCUCCCACGUGACCGCGACGCACUUGUACCUCGGGGUGCUCAUGUCGGGAAGAGCGGCCCAUUGGUCCCGAGAAGGGUCGUACACCUCCGCAGUCGCCGUCCAUCUGUGGGCACCCGACACUGCCGACAGCAUGCACUGCCCGCCGGCCGCGUAGAUCUUCCCGUCGCACGCCGCGCAUGCGAAGUCGAACCGCGGAGCGAUGAGCUGAGCGCAUGACGACCACUCCUCCGUGCGGAUGUUAUACCUGUUGAAUAUACAAUAUAAGAAUUAAUUAAUACUGCUCUCUGACAACUUAUUAAAGUUCAGAGAAAAUAAUAAUUUUACCUGAGAACCUCGGUUCUGACGGCGACAUCCACCUCAACCGGAUCGACGUCUGCAUCGCCGUCGCGGCCGGGCUCUGAUCUCUGGCAAAGCCUGCCGCCGAUGACGUAAACGCAGUCCCCGAGGGAGAUGAGAGCGAAGCCCUUGAGAACGCUCGUCUCGGGGAUCCCGGGGAUCGGACCGAUGCGGCGCCACGUGUGAUUGGAGGGGUCGUAACUCUCCAGCUGCGUGGAUAACGGGGAUCCUCUACGGCAAAAGCACGCGUAUAUCCUGAAGUUGGUGUUAGUAGGACGACGGCCGGGAAGCGAACCCAUCUAUACUGUUACUAACUAUAAAUUAUUCUAGCCGGGGGAGUUUGGAAGUGGAGACGAGAGCGGAGGAUAUAGAAGGACGGAGGCGGAGAGGUCGAGGGGGAGCUGCGGUGGGCCGUUCGAGGCAUCGAUCAUGACGAUGAAAUAGAGAGAGAACGAUACAAAGCGACGCGUGUUGUGGGAGGAAAUUACUAGAAGGGGUUCUGACGUACGCGAGGUGUUUUUUUUCUCAAUAAUAAUUCAGUGGCCAUUGGACCGGAAAGAGAAGAGAUUUAUGUGAUUGACUUGGACCAAAUCGGACCAUCAUUUGAUGAGUUCUAGCAUAGCAGAGAGAAAAACGAAAGUCCGUAGCUCGCUAUAUAUGAUACCAACUAAUUUUAAUUCAACAUUGGUUUUAAUAUCGACUAAUAAUUGUAUUUCGCAAUAAAAAAUAUCAAAUUAGAUUUUUAUUAUAAAUUUAUCUCUUGCAUGCAAUAAUACCUAACACAACUAUUAAAAGAAAAAUCAAACCAAAAUAUUAUAAGUAAAAUAAGAUUAAUUAUGAGUAUGAUCGUUUUCCUAUUCAUAAGUCGUUUUUUUUAUGAUAGAACUUCCUGAUCAACGAUUCAUACCGUUAAAUAUGAUUUAUAGCAUUUGAAACUUUUAGAAAUCAAAUUUCGUAAUUAUUCGGCAUUAUUUAUUUUAUGAUCAAAAGAUCUCAAAUUUGAUAAUUUUUAAUGGCUGAUGUGGGAUACUUUCCAGUUUAACGAUGGUUGAAUUUUUGAUAAAAGAUUUUAGCCACUGUCUAAAUAAAGAUUAAUAGCUUUGCUUUUAAAUUGAAGAAUCCGAUUAUCCAUUUUUAGGAUGCAUUCAAUUUUGACCGUUCAUUUUAUACCCGCUUGAUGGAUUUUAUUAUAAUUUUAAAAAAUUACGAAAUUUAAUUUUUUGAAGUUUUAAAUCAUAUUUAACGAUGUGGAUCGUCGAUUCAAAAACUCCAUACUGAAAAUAACUUGUAAGUUCAAAGAGCUCUAUACUUGUAAGAGUAUAAUAGUCUUACUUUCUCUCUCUCUCUCUCUCUCUCUCUCUCUCUCUCUCUCUCUCUCUCUCUCUCUAUAUAUAUAUAUAUAUAUAUAUAUAUAUAUAUACACAGAGGGAGUCCAGUUAUUAUACUAUUGAUAGCACAAAGCGCUUUUUACUAUUGAGUUUUCCGCUGUUAGAUCUAGCCCUACUCGUUUGAUUAUAUUAUUCAACCAAUCACCCAGUCAACCCUAGGGAAUUACUAUCAUCCUAACAACGCACAUUCCUCAUCUAAGGGCCGAAAAUCUAAUAGCAACAACUUAAGCUUAUUUCCUCCGCUC